CAAGAAGGCCAAUUGCCCCCUGUUGACAAUUUCAGCACCGGUGAAGGCGCCAGCNGAUCACGGAUGGCCGGCAGGGCAAGGCAGAGGCUCCAGUGGUGAGGAGCCGAGCAUUCCAGCUGACUACCGAGGAGGCACACGCCGCGCCCGAUGUGGUGACGAGUAUGAUUCUUUCCUUCUAUCUUUUGUUUUAUGAUGUUAUGAUAUUGAUAUGUGCUCCGUGUGUAUAUAUAUGCAUUAGGAUCGUUCCAUGUGAACGGCAUCCCAGUUCAGGUAUUGUUCGACUCGGGUGCAUCCCGAUCGUUCGUUUCUCUUGCGCUUAGCAAGCGGUUUCAUGAGACUUCAGGCGAGUUAGAUUGCCCGUUAGAGGUAGAGAUUGCUGAUGAUCGAUCGGUGCGAGCAUCGAUGGUGUUUCGAAAUUGCGUUCUGCGACUGUUUGAGGAGCGUUACCUGGUGGACUUGGUUCCCAUUCCAUUGCGUAGGAACAAGGUGAUUAUUGGCAUGGAUUGGUUGAGCCCUAAUGGGACGGUGAUAGACUGUGCGCAGCAGCUAGUGCGAGUCAGGACCCCGAGCGGGGGAGAGUUAGUGAUUCAUGGCGAAAGGCCGCAGUGUGGACCCACUGUGUGUUCAGCAGCGAGGGCUAGGCGCUAUCUUCACCAGGGAUGCACAGGAUAUGUCGCGUAUGUGAUGGAUACCCGGGAGGCGGGUAAAGCGACAGUGAGCGAGGUAUCGGUGGUUCUAGAUUUUGCAGAUGUUUUCCCGGAGGAGCUACCUGGGAUACCUCCGGAGCGACAGGUGGAGUUCAGGAUUGACCUUAUCCCCGGUGCGGCACCGAUAGCCAAAGCACCGUAUCGGUUGGCUCCUACGCAGCUGCAGGAGCUGCUAGACAAGGAAUUCAUUCGUCCGAGCAGUUCGCCUUGGGGAGCCCCGAUCCUAUUUGUGAAGAAGAAGGAUGGGUCGCAUCGGAUGUGUAUAGAUUACCGGGAGUUGAACAAGGUGAUGGUGAAGAACCGUUACCCACUCCCGAGGAUUGAUGACCUCUUUGACCAGCUUCAGGGAGCAUCUUGGUUCUCCAAGAUUGACUUGCGUUCGGGUUAUCAUCAGAUGAGAGUCAGGGAGGAGGAUGCGCAGAAGACCGCGUUUCGGACACGUUAUGGCCACUAUGAGUUUGUGGUGAUGUCGUGUGACAACCGUCAAAUUCUGGUCAAUUCAAAGUCAAAUAAAGUCAACAAGUCAAACCGGUCAACUCAACUAACCCUUGUGUACUUGGACUUACAUUCAGUAUUUACUAAACAACUCGCUAUUCUGAUAAGAAAACAUAAAUCGAAAAGUACGUACACCUAGAUCUCCUUAACCUAAAAACUGUAGUACGUGGCGAGCCAAACCGAUAAAACAAUGAUGCAUACUCAUCGGGAGUGUGUAAGAUCCUUAAACAAGGCUUAACAGGGUUUACGAACCAUGCGUUGCGAUACCGGACACUCACAACUGUCCCACAUGGAACCUCUCUCAAUCAUUUUCACUCUAUCUCUCUCUAUGUCAAAUCUCUCUCAAAUAUCUCUCUGUAUGAGAAAUCUCUCCAAGAAUGUCAAAUCUCUCCCAAAUCUCUCCAAGUAUGAGAAAUCUCUCUCAAAUAUCUCUCUAUAUGAGAAAUCUCUCCAAGAAUGUCAAAUCUCUCCCAAAUCUCUCCAAGUAUGAGAAAUCUCUCCCAAAUCUCUCUCAAAUAUCUCUCUGUAUGAGAAAUCUCUCCAAGAAUGUCAAAUCUCUCCCAAAUCUCUCCAAGUAUGAGAAAUCUCUCCCAAAUCUCUCUCAAAUAUCUCUCUAUAUGAGAAAUCUCUCCAAGAAUGUCAAACCUCUCCCAAAUCUCUCCAAGUAUGUGAAAUCUCUCUCAAAUAUCUCUUUGUAUGAGAAAUCUCUCCAAGAAUGUCAAAUUUCUCCCAAAUCUCUCCAAGUAUGAGAAAUCUCUCCCAAAUCUCCCUCAAAUAGUUCCCGUAACUUUUUAGAAUCAUUCGGGUCAUUCCGGCCCUUAACCGGGUCAAAAACGGCUUANACCAGAGACCGAGCCUCUGAUGGCUAAGAGACCAGAGACCGAGCCUCUGAUGGCUAAGAGACCAGAGACCGAGCCUCUGAUGGCUAAGAAACCAGAGACCGAGCCUCUGAUGGCUAAGAGACCAGAGACCGAGCCUCUGAUGGCUAAGAAACCAGAGACCGAGCCUCUGCCUCUGUCGCUUCUCGUUCUGCUCCUCUCGGUCUCUGCCCGUCUCUCUGUCUCUUCUCUCCUCUCUGUCUCUCUCUGUUCUCUUCUCUCCUCUUUGUCUCUACUUCGCGCCUCUCUGAUCCUUCCCACCUCUCGGUUCCCUCUCUCUCCUUUCUCCCCCUCUCGGUUCCUUCCCUUCUCUCUUCUUCCCUCUCGGUUCUGCCUCCCUCUCUCUCGGUUCAGCAUAAGAAGGCCGAGCCUAGGCCAUAAUUCGCAUAUUUGUCACUUUCAGCCCAUUUUUGAUAUUUUUAACAUUUUAAGCCCGUUUUUCGUGAUUUUAAAGCGGGAUUUUCUCCAGAAAUUAUGUUUUAACAUAAUAAACCCUAAAUAUUCAUAAUUUAAACAUAUUUUGAUGAAAAUCAUUAUUUAAAUAAUGAAAAUCAAAUGGGUGAAUUAUUAAAGGUGGAGUGUUGACUUUGCCUUAUCCAAAGUCACAAGCAACCACCCCACACCNCCCACACCCACUCUAUGACCAGCCACACCUCCCCACCUUACCUAGGUCACAUCAAUGUUCUUUCCACUCAAUUAUCACUCUUUCCCAUGUUUUUGAGAGCUGAAUAUUCAUCCUCUCUCCUCACUUCUCUCAUUUACUCUCAUUUCACAAGAAGAUCAAACUUUUUCCUCUCUCACUUUCUCUCUCUAGAAAUUCGAGAUUCAAGGGCUGAUCUUGAGUUUUUCCUCCACAUUUGGUAAGCAUAAUCCAUUCUCUUUAUGAUUAUCUCACUUAUUUCCACUCAAAUCAUGGAUAUCUUACACAAACUUCAUCAUAUUUGUGUUAGAUCUUCAAAUCUUCAAGCAAUCUUCCCUAGUGUUCUUGAGUUGAACACCCCUUCUCUCCAUCAUCCAUCCACUGAAAUCACUCAAGGUGAGUUCAUACCCCUACAUUUUCAUGUUUUCUCAAGUUUUUAAGGGGGGAAUACAAGUUAAAACACUAAGAACAUAACUAAAUUUCUCUAACAGCCUUCAUUAGAAAAGUUCAACUCCAUUCACGGACUGUUUUGGGUAUCUUACACAUUUUUGUUUUCAAAACUGUACAAGGUUCAAAUAGUUCAAGUUCUUAGCUUUAAAAUGGCUACUUGCACAUCUCCAUACGAUUUUUCUACAAUUUAUGGUGAUUUUUACAAAACUGUCUAUCAUUUCAAACAACAAUCCGGACCAGUCUGUGAUUUUGGACUUAUUCACUCAAGUUGGAGGUCAUUAAAAAUCGUGAUAAAAAUUAUGAGUAAACUAGACACAUUUUUUGAACUCUCAGAAUUUACGGAUCUAGUUUUCGACUUCGUAUGAUUUUUCUAUGAUUUUUCCAAAAACAGGGCAGAAUGGCUAAAGUUAGCCAAUAGCAUGUAAAUAUCAUAACACUUUGUAUUAUGUUGAGCAAAGUGUAUAAUCAUAAGUUCUAAUAUUUGAAUGUGUUUCCUUGUUAGUUUAUCAUUAUGAACUGAAACUAAGUCAUUCAUAUUAAAUAUUAUUCAUUCAUUUAGAACACGUAUUAUUUAACUAUAAAAAGUAUAGUUUAGUAAAUUCAUAACACUAAUACAUUUACAUAAAAGAGUUUAUACAUAUUACAUACAUUUUAGAUAAACUAUAAUAGGUAUAGUUUAUGAUACAUCACUCAACACACUCGUACAAAAAGGGGUACAAAUACAAAGUGCCGGGUUUAUAUACAAAAAGGGGUACAAAUACAAAGUGUCGGGUCUCUAUACAAAAGGGGUACAAAUACAAAGUGCCGGGUUUAUAUACAAAAAGGGGUACAAAUACAAAGUGCCGGGUCUCUAUACAAAACGGGGUACAAAUACAAAGUUUCGGGUCUCUAUACAAAAGGGGGUACAAAUACAAAGUACCGGGUCUCUAUACAAAAAGGGGUACAAAUACAAAGUGUCGGGUCUCUAUACAAAAAGUGGUACAAAUACAAAGUGCCGGGUCUCUAUACAAAAAGGGGGUACCGAUACAAAGUACCAGGUUUAUUUAAGAUAGUUAUCAUGAUAUUAAAACUAUACUUCAUCUAGAAUUGUUAGACUUCAACUAUAGUCGAUGAGCGUAUAUGUUUGAGUCAUAUAAGGAUUUAGUCUUGAUUGGCCUAGAAUUGGUGGUGCCCGCCUCAUCUCCUGUUCCUCGUUGGGUUGUGGACCUAGGGCAGACCCACUAUAUUCAACGUUUUAUCUAAUUUAAACCUUAUAUAACUUAUAUACACUGGACGAUUAUAGAGGAACUCUACGAGUUAUUCUAGGGUUCAUUAAUGCAUCAUAUAGGAACAUUUCUAUUCACACUUAACUAAGAAAAUAUUGGAUUUUCUGGAAAUCAAACUAUAUCGAUUUUUCAAGGAAAACGGUUUCUACUUCAAACAAAACUCUUAUGAACUCACCAACUUAAUUGUUGACACUUUUCAAAACUACUUGUAUUCUCAGGAAAUCAGUGAAACAGGAAAACUUCAUCGCUUUGAGGAUGGGACGUUAAACCGUCAACAAUUUAUUUUUGUCAUCAUAAUGUAAUUGACUUUGAAUCAUGUAAACAUAUACUUUGGUGUAACUUUUUCAAUUAUAUUUAUGAUGGUUGUAUUUACUUUGAACACUAUUAUAUCCGUUGUUGUGAUACUGCACAUGAAGUCAUCCACCCCCGGACGUUUCCGCCAUCCUUGGUUUGGGGGUGUGACAUGCCGUUUGGGCUCAUCAAUGCUCCUGCCGCGUUCAUGGAUCUCAUGAACUGCGUUUGCAGACCGAUGCUGGAUCGGUCUGUGAUAGUCUUUAUCGAUGACCUCUUGGUUUAUUCCAAGACUCAGGAGGAGCAUGAGGAGCAUCUGAGGGAGGUGUUGGAGACCCUGAGGAGGGAGAGCUUGUAUGCCAAGUUCUCCAAGUGUGAGUUUUGGUUGCGCGAGGUGCAAUUUCUUGGACACCUCGUAAACCAGAACGGGAUUCUGGUCGAUCCGGCCAAGGUCGAGGCCGUGAUGAGAUGGGAGGUUCCGAAGUCUCCAUCCGAGAUUCGGAGUUUCCUGGGAUUGGCGGGCUACUAUCGUAGAUUUAUCCAGGAUUUCUCCAAGAUAGUCGUACCCCUGACGCGGCUGACGAAGAAAGCUGUGGUCUUUCGGUGGGGACCCGAGCAGCAGGCUGCAUUUGAGAUGCUGAGAUAGAGAUUGUGUGAGGCGCCGAUCCUAGCCCUGUCAGAGGGCGUAGAGGAUUUUGUGGUUUACUGUGAUGCGUCCAUUUCAGGGUUGGGCGCAGUUCUGAUGCGGAGGGGGCAUGUCAUUGCCUACGCUUCGAGGCAGCUCAAGUCUCACGAGGCGAACUACUCGACGCACGAUUUGGAGUUGGGGGCGGUGGUCUUUGCCCUCAAGAUUUGGCGACAUUACCUCUACGGGGUUCGAUGUACCAUCUACACGGACCACAAGAGUUUGAGGUACCUCAUGGAUCAGCCGAAUCUGAACAUGAGGCAGCGUCGGUGGUUGGAUGUGGUGAAGGAUUAUGAUUGCGAGAUCCUUUACCACCCGGGGAAGGCCAACAUGGUGGCCGAUGCGCUUAGCCGCAAGGCGGCGCCGAUCAGGGACGUAUGCAUGAGGAUGACCAUAGUGACUCCCCUAUUGGAGCGAAUUCGGGAGGCUCAACAAGAGGCUAUCAAGGAGGAGCAUCGGAAGGGCGAGCGCGUGGUGGGUCAGGUGUCCUCCUUUGAUUAUGAUAGUCGGGGACUAUUGACACUACACCAUAGGGUGUGGGUGCCGUAUCACGGGGGCGUGCGCCAUAUUUUGAUGGAUGAGGCGCACAAGUCCCGAUUCUCUAUUCAUCCCGGGGCGACGAAGAUGUAUAGGGAUCUCCGUCUGGACUAUUGGUGGCCCUGCAUGAAACGGGAUGUGGCAUGGUACGUUGAGCGGUGCUUGACCUGCAGGAAGGUCAAGGCCGAAUAUCAGAGACCGCAUGGUAAGAUGCAGCCGUUGGACAUUCCACUGUGGAAAUAGGAAGAUAUCACCAUGGAUUUUAUUACAAAGCUUAUCAGGACCGCGCGUGGAGUGGAUUCGAUUUGGGUCAUCGUGGACCGACUGACCAAGAGUGCUCACUUUAUUCCGAUUCAGGAGAGCAUAUCGGCCGAUAAAUUGGCCGAUAUCUAUAUCAGGGAGAUCGUGGCGCGGCACGGGGUGCCGGUAUCGGUGAUCUCGGACAGGGAUGUGCGUUUCACUUCCAGAUUUUGGAAGAAGUUUCAUGACGAGUUGGGCACUCGCUUGCAUUUUAGCACCGCCUUUCACCCGCAGACGGAUGGUCAGAGUCAACGGACCAUCCAGACUUUGGAGGACAUGUUGCGGGCGUGUGUGUUAGCUUUCGGUGGUAGCUGGGAUACCUAUCUUCCCUUUGCUGAGUUCUCAUACAACAACAACUACCACGUGAGUAUUGACCGACCACCAUUCGAGAUGUUGUACGGGCGGAGGUGCAGAACCCCGAUAUGUUGGGGUGAAGUUGGCCAGAGAGUCAUGGGAAGCACCGAGGUGGUGCUCGAGACGACCGAGAGGAUCCAGCAGGUUCGGAGCAGACUUCAGACUGCUCAGAGUCGGCAAAAAAGUUACGCCGACAAGCGUCGAUCCGACUUGGAGUUCCAAGUCGGGGAUAUGGUUCUCCUGAAAGUGUCGCCUUGGAAAGGCGUCAUUCGAUUCAGAAAGCGGGGCAAGUGGGGCCCAAGAUUCAUCGGACCGUUCAGGGUUGUAGCCCGGGUGGGAAAGGUGGCAUAUAGGCUGGAUCUGCUAGCCAAGCUCAGUCAGAUCCACAGCACUUUCCAUGUUUCUCGACUGCGGAAGUGCCUAGUGGACGAUUCAGCGGUAGUACCGUUGGAGGAUAUUCAGGUGGAUGACAGCUUGAAUUACAUUGAGCGCCCAAUCGCAAUACAGGAAGUCGAAGGAAUUGAGGAACAAGAAGGUAGAACUAGUGAAGGUGCAAUGGCAGCACCGCAAGGGUUCGAAAUGGACUUGGGAGCCGAUGGACGAGAUGAUGGAGCAUUACCCCGAGCUGUUUCAGGAUCGAGGAGCAGACUUCGAGGACGAAGUCUAAAAUAAGUGGGGGAAAUUUGUAGCACCUGGUUCCUGGUAUGUAAAUCUUAUUUGAGUAUUUCCCAUUUUAGCCUUGGACUCGGGGAGUCAUAGGUCCGACUCGCCGAGUAGGGACGAGACCCAGGACACGUUUAAGUUGGCGACUCGGCGAGUCCAUAUCCUGGACUCGGUGAGUCACCGUUGUUGGAUGAAACCCUAAGUUUCAGGGGUUUGCACCCUAUUUAAACCUCAUAUCCGCCCCUUGCCAGCCCCCAUUCACCCCCAGAGCUCCCAACCCUCGUCCUAAGCUUGUUCCUUGAGAGUUUGAGGCUCUUGUGUGUAUUCUUGAAGGUUUUGAGGCAAGAAGGGGAAGAAGAUCAAGAGGAAGGAGAUCCAUCCAAGCAUCAUUGUGUUUUUCAGCUGUUUCAUUGAGGUAUAUCUCAUUUUCCCCCUGUUUCUAUGCUUAAGAUUUCAUUUAAGACACUCUUGAGCAAUUCCCCAAGCUUGUUUGUGCAUAAUAUUUCGUAAUAAGUGGAUUGGCCUUUAGAUCUAGGCAAGAUUGAGCUCCAGGAGCUCAGAUCUGUUAGCUUUAUGGACCCAUGUGGCUUGUUCAUCUUAGAUCUACCCUUUUGAGGCAUUUUGAACCCUAAAAUCCAUAUUGGUGAAUAUCUACAUGUAAAGUUGGAAACUUUACGUGUGAUUCGUGUCUUAGAAGCCCAGAUCUAUGAAUGGCAUGGACUGAAAUCGAACAAAUCGGUGUAUUUAAUGGAUGCAUGGCGACGACUCGGCGAAUCGUUCAUGUGACUCGGCGAGUCUGCUCGCGAGUCACUGAAUUGGUCCCUUUAUGUUGUAUCGAGUUUGAGCUGUGAGUCAUAGGGGGUGACUCGGUGAGUUGGAAGCUGAACUCACCCAUGGUAAGACUCGGCGAGUCAUGGCCUGGCUCGGCGAGUCCAAGGCAAUCUUCAUAGGUCAAGAACAGACUCGGCGAGUUGUUCAUACAACUCGACGAGUCUAAGCAUGAGUGUUCAUCGGAUGAAGAUGAACUCGACGAGUUGUUCAUACAACUCGGCGAGUAGGACGAAGAACUUCAAUGUCAGUUUAGAAGAAGAACUCGUCGAGUCAUAGCCUAACUCGACAAGUAGAAUCAGGGACUCAGGAGAAUCGUCUGGAUAGGAACUCGGCGAGUUGGAGAGCCAACUCGGCGAGUCGGGUCAACUGAAAGUUGACUCUAAUUUUGACUUAGGGCUAGACCAGGGUUUAAAUGGUCAUUUUACCCAAAGGACAGUUAGUAGUGUGUGAUUGAGUAUGUUGUGGGAAUUGCAGUCGGAGAAGUUCCGGAGCAGCAGCAGCGGUCAGUCAGUUCCCGAUCAGUUUAGCAGUUGCUUUGAGGUGAGUUGCCUUCCAGUAGCGGUGGGUCUAAGGCCAUAAUGUCGGCCCACCAGUAGGAGAUGUGUGAAUAGAUGAUUGUCUUUGUGAUAUUCAUCUAGGGUUUCUAGACUAUGUGAUAUAUGUGUUAUGUGGUAGUAGUAGGGGGUGAAAUAGUCCCCAGUAUCCGGUCGAAAGGACCGAAGGGGAGGCCAGCACCCAGAUAUGCUAGGCAGUAUCCGGUCGAAAGGACCGAAGGGGAGGCCAGCACCCAGAUAUGCUAGGCAGUAUCCGAUCGAGAAGACCGAAGGGGUAGGUCGGGCACCCAGAUAUGCCCGACAAAUUUAUGUAUGUUAUGUGACCAUGUGGUAUGUGGUACAGUGGGGGAACUCACUAAGCUUUGUGCUUACGUUUUACAGUUUUGUUUUCAGGUACCUCUUCUUCGAAGGGGAAGGAGCUGGCGCGGUAGCGACACAUCAUGCACACACUCUGGUUUCCGCAUUUACGAGAUUCACUGGGAUUUGUACUCUGAUAUUUUGAUGGGUUGUAUGGUUUGGCUUUUAAACAUGGUUGCGUUGUGUUGUGGUUUGAACAAACAAUGUUUUAAUUAUUAAUGUUUUCUAAACUAAGGUUUUUAAAACGAAAUUUUUGGACGUGAAAAUUGGGUCGUUACAAAAGAAGUUAUGACCAAUCGAAGAUCCGCAACAAAACCGGCAAAACGCUGGAAGCAUAAAAAAAAAUUCAAUAAAAUACUUUUUAGCCUUAACUAUCUAAACGAAAGUCGUAGAAUACGUUAACCAGUGAAAGUUUGUAAAAAGAACGUCCAAAUCUGAGUUCGUAUGAAAAAGUUAUAAUUUUUCUAAGUUUCGACAUAGCGGUACACAACCCGAAAUUCAAAAUAAAGAUCGAACGAUAUUUAGCCGACACAACCUAAACGAGAAUCGAAUGUCUCGUCAAUAGUAGUACAACGGUAGAAAGACAUACGAAAAUGGACUUCGGAUGAAGAAGAUAUGAAUUUUUAACGGAUUUUUCUAUCCCGGUCUGUUAAAAAUAAUAAUAUUAAAAAUAAAGUCAAAAUUAGCCGACAAAGUCCAAACGAGAGUUGUAGAUUAUAUUCCCGCCUACGUGUGCAUAUAAAGAACGUCAAAAACGGAGCUCGUAUGCGAAAUUUAUGAAUUUCGGAAGAAUUUGGCUCGAAAACCGAGAAAUCCUUAAUAUCCGGGAAUUUUCGCAAGGCUGGGAUCCGGACACGUCACCCUGCACCCGCAGCCGCCUAGUGUCCGCCUCGUGUCACCCUCUGAUUCGUCCGAAGCCGAGGUCCAAUGGGAGACCGACGUGCAUUGCAUCGGUGGAGUCUCCGAGCUCGGACACGUGUACAGCUUCGCAUGACCGAUGCGUGGCUGCUGACUCACCUCCUUUGGUCCGAGAUUUUGGCCCUAUAUAAGGGUGCGAGAUCUUCCGAGAACUUUACACAUUUUACCCUAAAUUUCAUCCUUUUUCACAUUUUCUACCCCCAUAAACCUACUUACAACCCCGCGAAGCCCCGGUAUCAUAUUCAACACUUAAAAGACAUCUCGAGACGCAUGAAGCUCACAAGAAAAGAAUCUUUCGGUUUCUAAAAUACGAACCCUCGCAAGGCUCGAUUCUCAGAAAUAAAGUCUUUUUUUAGGAACGAAGUGCUACUCAAUUUUUCACGACUAUCAAGUGAGUUUAUACACUUAUGUUUUUAUAAUGUUUUAGGGGGAAAAAUACAAGUAAAAUACAAUGAAAUUUCGUAUAAAUAACAAGAUUUGUUUAUUUAAUUUACGAUUACUAUAAACAAACUAUUUUACCGGUUUGGAACUUAUUACAACAAUUAAACAUAUAAAUUAUAAUAGGUAUAAUUUAUGAUUCAUACAUGUUUAUCAAUACACUUUAUGGAAUUACAUAUGCUUUAUAUAUAUUCAGAGUUUCUGAAGAAAUUAACUAUAUAAAUUAUAUUAAAUAUAAAUUAUGAGAUACUUAUAAUAUAUCUAUUACAAAGAUACUUUUCAAUAUUCUACACAUAAUUAUCAAUAUAGUAUUUGUGAAACACACUUCAAGUACUUAUUCAAGUAUAAAACAAAAGUCCUGAAAGUUAUAACCAGAGUCUCCUAGAGAAAGAGCGUGACACUUGUAUAUAGAUCUAUAUGGAAUUGACAAUCCCACAUCCCGACUGUUAGCUACAGUCGAGUCGGCAGACUUGGGGUGACAAUUGUCGUACCAAAUUACAAUUCCUGAAGAACAUUGUGUUUCAGGCGAGGCUUAGGUCAUCAAGCAUGAUUAUGAUAACUCACAAUUUGAUAUUGAAUAAUAUGUUUAGUGUAAGAAUAAGUAAACAACUUCACAUAGUUUUACUAAAUUAAAACUAUAAUACAAUAAUUACAAUUUCACAAGUAUUCGUACAAGUAUAGAUAUAGAAUACUAUUCUAGUAUAGUGAAAACAUACUCUUCAUAGUUUUAUGGGAAUUUAAAACUAUACUAUUUGAGAACACAAAUACAUAUACAACAGAAAAUAUAGGAUUUUCUGGGUGAACAUAUUUACAUUUCAGAGAACAAAUGACAGAAUACUUUUACAACAUACUUAUGAACUCACUAACUUAAUUGUUGAAACUCUUUCCAAAACUAUUUGUAUUUUCAAGAAACCAUUAAACAGGUACCAGCAAGUUUUGAGGAAGACAAAGUAUUAUAUAAUUAUGUUUGUUAAUUAUAAUUUUUGGUGUUUAUUUGUUUAAUAUACAAUGGUUUGAACACACAUGUAAAGUUAUAUUUUAUCAAUGUAAUGGAUGUUGUACUUUGAAUACUAUUGUGCAUAGUUGUGAUACUACACAUGAAGUCAUUCACCCCCGAAUGUUUCUGCCGUUCAGGUUUGGGGUGUAACAAAUGGUCGUAAUAUCAUAAGUGUAAAUUGACAACUAUGGUAGCCUUGGUGGUCAUAAUACCAUAGGUUGAAACCUUAUUGGUCAAUAGCAACUUUGGUGGCCGUAAUAUUAUAUUGUGUAUUGUUAUUAGAGAAUUGCAAGUUAAUAGUAGCUUUGGAAAUCAAAAUACUAUAUUUGCGAAAGAAUAUAUUGUAGUGAAAAUUUGUAUGGUUGUAAUGUCAGUAAGAGUAAUGUUUGAUUGAAUAAAGAAUGUUACAACUACAAUAGUUACAUUUUAUUGGUCAUACACCUCAAAUGCAUCACGAAGUUAAUAAUAAUAACCAUAGACCUUAAAUUUCCCAAAUAGGUUUAAAACCAAUUUAGCAAUGAUUAAGAAUUUACAUGUAAGGUUAGGCAUCAAUAUUUGGUAGUGGAUACUAGGACUUUCUUUGGUAAUCUCAUCUGCAUGAUCAACAAACAUAGUUUAACUUUAACUAGAAUUUAAAAUACAUUUAAUGAAUCUAUAAAUAACAGAAUAUCAGACAAUUUUGACCUUAGAUUUUGUGGUUCUCCAACCUAUUGAGUUGGUUUGUGGAGAUGUGUAGGCAAAUUUCUCAAACGGAUUUUGUAGCACGCUUUUACUCAAACUUGUAACAAUAGAUGGUGAUUCUUCCUACAAUUAAAGUCGUGUUUGUUACACAGGACACUAUAGGACUUUGUGACUGAUUUCAACAAGACAAAAAUUGCAAACUUUUUUUGGAGAGUCGCUUUAGAUUUGAGAUGUAUGCAAAAUUACCUUAUUUGUUGUUGAUGUAUGGAUAUGUUGGAUUUCUAGUCUGUCAGAAUAAAAGAGCACCUGCAUAUAGAAAAGUUAUAUAAAUUGGUUGUAUAUCUCUAAAGGAUCAAAGAGAAUUUGUGAUCAUAUUCAAUACAUCCCAACUCCCAACUCCCAAAACAUAAAUCAGCAAAAUGACCAAUAUGCCCUCAAUAACUAUCAAACGGAUAUGCGACAAGAUAUUAUAAUAGUAUGAAUUGAUAUCAUACCUUGUUUAAAAGCUGCACAUUGGAUGAAUCAGUUGCCACAACAUGUAACCCAAGGCAAUUGUCUUGAUCACUACAAAAAGGGCAGAAAGCCGUAUUAAAUACACAGCCAUCUUCUUUGCUCCAAAUUCCUUCAUCUCCAUUUCUUUCCCAAAUUCUCCCAUCAACACAUGAAACAUCAGACACCACAACAGCUACACUUGUCCCACCCUUUUCUCUCCCUUUCCAACAUGACACCAAAUGCACUUUAGAUAACGACAUCAAAGAACAAGGGACAGAAUAGUCAUUUUCCGCAAGACCCAGUGGAUUUUUACAGAGUGAACAAGAUAUUUUUAGAUCUUUCUUGGUUUCAUCACCAAAAUUCAUGGUUUCUUUGACUGGAAAUGUGGGUUUGGGUUCAGAGGAAUCAAAGUGGGCCAUCUUGACCGAUGCAAAGGCUGAAGACUUUCUUCUUUUGUGAAAAUGGGAAUUGACACUCGAAUCUAGAGGUGAAUUGUUUUGAGGGAUUUGUUGUUUUUUAGGUGGUGUUGUUGUGUUCAUGCAUUCAGAAGCUGAAGUGGAACAAGGGGAAGAAAAGGAAUGAGUGGGAAACUUUGAUUGGAUUAUGGUUGACUCGGAGACAGAUUCAAGAGUAGCAGGGUAACUGUUCUUGAUUGGUGUUUCCUUCACAAUGAGUGGUUCAUGGUCAAGGGUAUUAUCGUCAUUUCUUGGAGUUUCAUGAACAAUGGUUAAGUCGAAAUCGUCAUCAUCAGAUAUAUUCAUUGAUGGUGGCGAUGGAAACCUGCACCCAUCACAAGACAGACAUUUGUUACCAACUUCUAUUCUCUUUUAGAGUAAUUACAAGAAUGGUCCCUAUGUUAUUCCCAACAUUUCAGGUUCAGUCCAACUUCUAUGAUAAAAUGACUUUUCUACCCUCAUAUGUUUCUUUUUAAAGUACAUUGCAUUUUUGGUCCCUGAGUAUAGCUGAUGUUUUUAAUUUUGGUCCCAAAAGGUUGUCAUGCUAAUUUGAUCCUUAUUUAAGAUUUGUCUAACGUUUUUUUUGUCCUUGUUCCUAGUAAAAUGGCUAUUUUUGGGAUCGAAAUUGCAAAAAUCACACCCAUAGAGAAAAAAUGGUCACUUAAUUUGGAACCGGGACCAACAACAUUACACGAAUGUCAAAUAAGGACCAAAAAUGCAAAUGAAAACCUUUUAGUACAAAAAUUGCAAAAAGCAACCUUACUCGAGGAACAAAAAUGUAAUUUGACUCUUCUUUUUAACUUUUCUAUAAUUUGUUUAUUUUAAACUAUUGUUAGAUGUCAUUUUACAUGGAUCAGUGACAGAUCAGAAACAAAAACCAAUGUUAGGGACCAAUUUUAAACAGAAAAAAAAAAAAAAAACAUUGGACUGAAUAUGCAACAGUGGGUAUAACACAAGGACCAUUCUUGUAACUAACUCAUUUUAUUUCAAUGAUUGAAAGAACAAGAGGCCUAGAUAAAAUAACAAGUUUAAAAUACCUGUUUUGUGUCUCCAAAUCACCUUUGGAGUCAGUGUAAGUUAUACCAGUAUUGCUGUCACUCUUUUUCACUCCCCUAAUAAUUGUUUCCUGAGGUCUAGAUUCUGUUUUGGGGGAGGGGCAGUGAAACUUUUUACUUGUAAUUGGAAACUUUUUUAUUUUAUUUGUUAAUAUUUCAGGUGGUGAAAUAACAGCAUCUGACAUGGAUCUUCUUCCUUUUGGUUUGGGGUUACUUAUAAUUUUAUGGUUCAUCAUUUCUGUUAAGAGGUUUCUUGGCUCCUCCACAUCAAUGACUUCAACAUCAACUAUCUGCUUUGUAUCAUUCUCAACCUGUUCUUCCAUUGUUUCACAAAAUGAGCAACAGAUUUAAAUUGUUAGUGAUGAAAAUCUAGCUAGCAAGAAGAAAAGUUGUUGGAUACAAAAUGCAAGAAAUAGCAACAUACUUUCAUUUAUUUGUUUAUUAUAAAUGUGUAGGUUGGUCAAAGUACAAUGUUGUAAUGGGAAGAAAUGAAAGUAAAAUUCAGUUAAAUAAAAGUAUGUUGCUAUCUAUUUCUUGCAUUCGAACCAAAAUGUGAAAAGGUACAUUGUCAGAGAAAGAACCUUGAUGUUCUUGAAAAAGGACUUUAAUCCUUCCAAUGACUGGUCAAAAUUGUCAUAUUGUCUAAUGGAUUUCCUUAUCCACUUUGAAAUGUAUGUUAAGUUUCUUUCUUGACGAAAUCGCUCAUCUGCUUGCAAAAUAUUUAGGAAUUAAUUUGGUAUUUGUAAGCAAAUAAAAUCAAUCUGUUGUGAAAAAAAAGGAGAACAUGAACAUAGAAACAUAUCAGGGGGGAGAGAGAAAGAGAGAGGCCUACCUAGGAAGAUUAUGGCUCCAUAGUCUGACCUGUGUCGAAUGCAACGGCCUACAGAAGAUCAAAGUUACACUGUAAGAAAACAUUGAGCUAAAACAUAAGCUCCUAAUAGAAACAGCAAAAACUAUAUAAGAAUUUAAAAAUUCUAGUUAUUCAUCAUAAACAUGAUUCAACAGUAAGAUUCGUAUAUUGUGAUCAAGGGAGAUGUGAUACCUGCUGCCUGAUUAAGAGCUCUAAAAGCUUGCUGACAAUACCAUUCGCUGCCACUAAGAAGAUUUUUCGAGGAUUUAAAAGUAUCGUUGUAUCUCUUUUUUUCUGCCACCUGAAUAUCAAACCUGCAAGGUGACACAAUACUAGCAAUCAGCAUCACAUGAUAUUAAUACUUUGAAUAUAACAUAAAUACAUAAUAUCAUAUCAAGGGUGCAAAUGUAGUCAAAAACAAGAAAGGGAAUCUUACACAUUUGGAAAAGGAAUCCCUAUAAGUAUCUGAGAUUAUCAAAGGAGCAAGUGGUAUAGUUAAGGAUCAUCUUGAAAUCUGAAAAGGGUACCACACCUAUAACCAUGCUCUGAAUAGGAUAUUAGCAAAUAUCAUACAAUGAAUUAAAGAAGCAAUUAAUAAUAUAAAGGAUACAACUGCUCGAGCAUUAUCAUCUGAGAAGUCAAUUCCUUCGGACACCUGUACAACCAGUCAUAGUAAUUUUAGUAUAUAAAAAAGAUAAGAUAAGAAGAGAAAUAUGAUGUAAUGUAGAUGACACAUCAGCAAUAUACCUUUCCUCGACAGACAGCAAGAAAUGUAGCUCCCUUUUUAUCGUUCCCUUUAGAACAUGAUAUUGCUUCCACCUUUUUAACCCUUCUCCUCCCAUUCCCAAUUGCAAGUUUCUUACCACGAAUUGAAUCAUAAUAACCACUCAAAACCUGCUCAAAAUCAUCCUGACUUCCUCUUGGCUCUAAUAAGUAAUAACACAACAAACAAGACUCCAUUGUCAAACCAAAAACAUUUUGAAAUUAAAACAUUAAUUUCAACUAGGGUUUAACCUCACCAACAAAAACAGGUUUUUGUGCAUUUAGGCGAGUCCAUUGACCUGUUUCAAACCAACGACUGCGUAAUUUGUCCAUAAGUUUAUAACUGGGGAAGAACACCAAACAGCCACCAGGGACAACUUUGCAUAUUUCUUCAAGAGAUGUUCCAAGUGCAUCCUGUAAAACAAUCACAUCAUAUUUAUAAUCAAAUGAAAUGGAGAAAUGUUUCCAUUUUUGUUUUUUUUUUUGGAAUUUACCUGGAAACCAUAUCCCUCGGAUGUUUUGUAACUUGCAUUCAAUGGGUAAUCACCUGGCCCACUGUGAAUCACACCCGCCCAUAACUGCAGCAUAAAGGGUAAAACCGUUAUUUAAAUAAGAAAGAUUACAGAAUCGUUUAAAAAUGAUUGAUUCUAGAAAAAAGGUAAGAAACUUUAUUGGUACCUGUGACUCCACAUUGAUAACAUGGGGAGCUUCAAGAGAGGUUCCAAACUGAACCCCAAGUUCAGAUUGAAAGGAACUCAUUGGUGAUAGAGUCCUAUAAUAACAUAAAAGAAAAUUAAAAAAAAAAUUGUAUUAAUAAAUAAAAUUUUAGAUAAAAUAUGAAUACAUGCACCUACCCAGAUGUUAAAAUUACAGAAAGAGAAGCAUCAGCAAUGUUUUUAAAAACAAGAGCUGGAUUCAAGCACCACAAACUCAAAGUACAAGGCCAAUCAUCACCAUCAACUCCUGCAUGCAAAAUGUUAGAUAUUAUAUUAUAAGAGUAAAUUACAUUUUUGGUCCCUAAGUUAAGCUGAUUUUUGCAAUGCAAGUUUGGUUCCAACAAAGGUUUUGGUCCUCAUUUAUGGUUCUUGUAAUAUUUUUUUAUCCCUAUUCCACAUAAUAUGAUUAUUUUGGGUCCCUAAGUACAGCUGAUUUUUGCAAUUUUGGUACUAAAAAUAUAGUCAUUUUCCUGAAAAGGGGACCAAAAAACUCAAAUGAGGACUAAAAUUUCAAGAGAAAGCUUUUUGGGACCAAAAUUGCAGAAAUCAACUACUCUCAUGACCAAAAAUGUGAUUUUUGCAACUUUGGGUCCCAAAAAUAGCCAUUUUCUUGGAACAAGGACCAAAAAUGUUGCAAAAAAACUCAAAUAAAAACUGACAUAGCAAGAAAAAACUUUUUAGGACCAAAUUUAAAAAAUUCAACUAAGGCACCAAAUCUGUAAUUUACUCUUAUUAUUAAGAACAUAAUGGUAAAUAAAUUUUAGAAACUUACCAGCAUCACCUUUGAUACGACAUUGCAAUACAAGCUGAUAAUCACAGAUGUGGGCCCCAUCUUCAGAGAAAAAGUAGGUGAGUGAAGAGAAAAGGCCUGUAGGUUUAAAAAAAAAAAAACAAAAAAGAAGGAUGCAAUGAGAAACAUAAGUUUAUUCUGAGUGUGUGGAAGAUUAUAAAGAAUAAUAACAUGAAAGUUAGGCUAAGCACCUUCUAAUACUGUAGAGGGCAUGCCACUUAAAUGGUCAACUUCAAGAUCUGCAUCUGUAGCAAUUUUAAUUGCCUGAAAAAGGUUGUAGAAGACAAAGUAGGAUAAUUUUACUUUAGUAUGUUAUUAACACAAGUGAUUGCUCAUCUUAUUAAACUCUAUAUCAACAUUAGUUAUAGAGAAAUUACACAAAUGGUCCCUAAUAUUUGCAAUAUUAAUCCCCAAAAAGUUUUUUCUUGCCAUUAUGGCCCCCUUAUUUGCUGUUUUUGUAAAGUUUUGGACCCUAUUCCAAGUAAAAUGACUAUACUACCCACUUCACCAGAGUUUAGCUCAUUAAAAAAAGGGGAGGAAUCCAGAGUUAGAGUAGGCCAACUGGCCAAAUCCCAGUAUAUAUUAAUAAGGGUAAUAUAGUAUUUUUACAUGGAACAGGGACCUCAAUCAUUAGGAUACUUCAGAUUAAUGACUAAAAACAUUAGCAGAAACCUUAAAUGAGGACCAAAUUUACAAAAGAAACCUUUUUGGGACCAAAACUGCAAAAAAAAAAAAAUAGCGAUACUCAGGGACCAUCUUUGUAACUUAAUCUUAAUUGUAUGAAAAAAUGGAUUAUGGAUGUUUGGAAAUUACUAGGUGUGGCAUAAAAACUCAAAGUAAAUGUUUUUAAUUUUGAUGGAGAAAUGCAACUGAAGAGAGGAUUACCUUUGUGGCACAUUCUUGUAAGAUUGGGAAGCACUGCUUUGAUAUGCUUGCUUCUUCAAGUUCUUUUAAAGCUUUAUCACCAGUCCAACUAAAAUAAUAUCCAAAAGCACUUAUAUAUCUUAUAACACAAAAUAUAUAAUAACAUGAAGAAAACUUCAAAAAAAUAUAUGUAUAUAAGAUAACUGACCAUGAUGCAUUAUGUUGAAAACUAUGCUUCCCCAAUGAAUUUUUCUUCCGCCUGAUCCAACUAAUAAUGCCCUGUCAUAAUUAAAAUUAAAAAAUAAUUAUUUAAAAAAUAAAUGCAGUUGUAGUAUAGGAAUAUGAGGAUUUAAUCUAAGGAGUAGUACCUCCAUCAUUUCACAUAAGGGCUGAUAAAUCUCUACUUGAUCAGCCUGUGUAACUCGAUCACUAUGACAAAGAUUUUCCAGUUCCAUCUGUAAUUCUUCCAUAUGUACAAACAGAAUACAAAAUCAAUAAAUACAUUAAAGUAAAGGGAGGGUAAAAAUGGAAUAAAAAGAUGCUUACGAAGCAGAACAACUUCUUCAGCAUCUACACUACCAGCAUCCCGAGCUAUGUCCUCUAUAUUACUGAAAACAGGUAUAAAAAAAAGAACUAUAUAAACUGCCAUGUGAGUGUAAAAUAUGUAUCUGAAAGUCCUGAACUUUUCAUAUAUUCCAAAAUUACCCCUCACAUGACUAGGAAGAAAAACAGCAAAGGGACCACACAACAAUUUUUAGACUUUAGGGUCAUUUAGGUUUUCCAAAUGGACAUAAAAAUCACAAAAUGUUAACCUUUGAGUAAAUUACAAAAAUGGUCCUGUGCUUUGUUAUUUUACUGUGCUUAGUUCAAAAAUCAAAAUUGGAACUUGUUUCAGUUUUGGACAUUAUUUCAAGGUUUCAUAUCAAUUUUGGUCCCUGUGCUUUCUGACUUUUACCACUUCAGCUCUUCUAGUCCAAACUUGAUACAUUUUUCAAUUUGGUUAUUAUUUCAAGAUUUCAUAUCAAUUUUGGUCCUUAUUCCAAAGUUCAAGGAACCAAAAUGAAUAAAUGAUGUCCAAAAAACUGAAAAAUGUGUCAUCUUUGGACUAAAGACAGUAAAAUCCACAAAGCACUGGGAACAGAUUUGUAACUUAAUCUUAAUUUUUCUUGUCAAAAUAGUUAUAGCAUUUGAGAGAUUAUACUACUCACUGAGCUUCAUCAAGAAUGAUAAUGUUUCCUUUAACAUCUAAUUCCAUUGCUUUUCUGAUUUGUGGAUUGAUAAUAUAACUAUAAGGGCAAAAAACUAUUUGUGCCACUUCUGCCAUGGCUUGUGCUCCAAAAUAUGAGCAACCUGAAAAUUUUGGGACAAACAGUUAUGUACUAGACAGUAAGUAACAUUUUGUCAAAGAAACUUGUAAAGAUAAAAGACCAAAUUAACCUUCGACCAUUUGUCCAACUUUAACAAGAUCCUCAAUAUCAUGGAGUUCAUAGCAGCCUCCUUUUUUAACAGAUGGGUGUGCUCUAAUCUUUUUUGCAUUCCUGUAAGAAAGAAUGGUUGGUUAUAAAUUUUAAUGGAAUCCUACUAAAAGUACAAGAAAAAGGUAUAUGGACAACAAAAAUAAAAACACAAAAAAAACUCACAAGAAUUCUGGGCAACCACAUUUGUUUUGUCCUCGCUCCUUGAGAAGUAGCUUACUACAUUAUCAUAAAACAACAUACAUAAGAAGUGGAAAAUAAAAUGUAGAUGCAAAGAUUAACAGAUAAAAAGGCACCAUUUCUCAUCAAUAUUAUCUUGGCCACGAACUUUGGCAUUUGUACAGUAACGUUUUCUAGAUGCCUGAAAGUUAACUCAAGAAAAUGAAAAGAGAACUUAUCAGAUUCUGAUCAAUAUCAGAAUGCAAAGGCAAAACCAUAUAUAAAGAGAUCUUUUCAAUUAAAAAUUAAAAAAAUAAUGUUACAAGUACAAUGUAGGAUCAAAGAUAACAUACCAAAACUGCCAUUGGCACCCGAUAACUUGUUUUGCGAAAUUCAGAGACAACUUGACUAAUCUGUGAAUGUGUCCGCCUAAAUAAAUUUAUCAUAUAAAAAAUUAUAAAUCCCAAUCUUCAUGAGCUUCAAAUAUCAAUAUUACACAGAUGCCCAAGUGACAAAAGUUACCUCCAUAAGCAUACAUACAACAUAUAUGAUAGAAUCUCAUGUGCUUUGUUUAACAAAACUUACGUGGCAUAGUAAAUGAUAGGGCCUCUUUUUUUCUUCUGCUCAGUAUUGUGUGUCUCGGAAAAAGUAGGCACCACAUUAUUACCUAUGAUUUUGAAAGAAGAUAAAGACAAGAAAUCACUGAUUAACGUAAUUCUGAUACAGAAAUCGUGCAAUUACUAUAUGGAAGUGCUAUAGUUAUCUAUGACUCAUGACUUUAAACAUUCAAAUAAUGAAGUGCUAUAGUCAUCUCCAAUAAUAUGUAAGUAUUAGUUUAUCCAAUCUUUUAGAGGUUGUUUUAAAACAGUUUCCCCUCUCUCGUAAUAGAUAAGGGAGCCAUGUUAACUACUAGCAUGGUCUUUGGUACCAAAGAAAAUAAUCAUUGUGCAAUCAAUGCAUAAUAGUAUAAACACCAAAUAGUGUGUUGUUUCUAGUGGAUAAAUGUUUGUACUAUUUGGGUUCUACAAGUUCUCUGUUUCUACAAUCAUAUAUGCAAAGUCCAUAUAAGUUUAUAUUUGAGUAAAGCCAAAAACUCGAAAGCAUUAGUUUUUGCACUUGAGGCAAGAACAGUCUUUAAAAAUAUCAAAGAACUGCCAGACUUUCUAAUUCCAAUUGUUGUCAACAAAAUGAGCAAUUUUGAUGCCAAAAACGAUAUAUCUAUUCUUGAUAGCAGAAAAUUAGAUGAAGCACAGUUAUAUGAUGUUAGAAAAGAGGUAGAAUUGUUGUUGUUGAAGUUUUCUAUCCAAACUUUAUAUACAUAAAAGGCCAGGCAAGCAGCUUGGAGAUUGUGUCUACUAACACCACUAUUAGCAAUAAGGUUAGAACUUUAAUAGCAAUCGUUAAACUUCAAAUUUUGUACAUUGGACACUCAACAACAAAGCAACCAACUCAUUUGAAAAAACCAGGUAACCGUAUUUAUAUAUACUAGUGAGGAUUGAGGAUGGAAAUUUGGUAGCAAAGCUUACUGCUCAUUGCUAGUUUUUGAAAGAAAAAAAAAUGGUAUGUUAAAUACCAUAUAUACAGUCAUCAAUAAUUUCAACAUGAAAUUUUAGAAUUAAAUAUCACACGUUGUAUACAGAAUGUGAAGAUCAUUUGUAGAGUAAUAACAUUGUAGAGUAUAUAUCAGCAGAGAAAGGUUAGAAACCAUUGAUAUUACUCCAUUUCAGGGACAAACCCCCACUACCACAUAAAAAUUCCAUUGAUACCGACAUGAAAUAAAUAUAUGUACCAAAAUAAAAUGUUAUCAUUUAUACCUGAUGGCUCCAUUUCAGGAACAAACCCCCCACCACGACCCAGAGGGUCAACCAUAGCCUCGGGAUCAGGUUUCGAUUGAGAGAUAUUCCCAAGGAGAGACUUUAACUGUUGAUUCUUCUGCCAUGCCAGAACGGAGCAAAGCAGAGACAAAGACUUUCCAGUACCAGUAGGAGAUUCAAGUAACGCAUGAAAAUGACCAUCUCGUUGAGCUCGAUCGAGAGUUGCGAUUACUCUGCCCAUGUAAGCCAGCUGAGAGCCAUAUGGUUGGUAAGGAAACUCGAUUGGUAUGCCGCCGAUGUGAAUGACAUUCUUUUUCGAUGGUUUAGGGUUUGGAUUUGACGCCGGCAGUGAAUACGAAGACAUUGCUUCUCCGGUGUAAGUAGAUUUUCGCCGGUGGUUAGCCCUCAUUCGCGGUUUUUCCUGUAGAAUGAGCUGAUUGGGGUUUUAGGGUUUCAACUGUUGUGAAAAUUUCGUCUUUGGCGGGAACUUUAUUUUUUGGAACAUUUUAUAAAUGCGAGGCAAAUUUAGGGACGGGUAGAACGGCGUUAUACAAUCGAAUGAAUAUUAAACAAUUUUAUAUUUUAUAUUUAUAUAUAGAUACCGUUGUUUUUUUUUUAUGUUCUAUCAUAUGAGGGAUACCUUUUUAUGCAAAAUAAGAUUACUUUACAUAUUGAAUUAAGUUUUCGAAGACGAAACCGAGUGUUUAUACCUUUUUAUCAUUGGGUACUUUUGAAAAUUAAUUUAAAAUCAACUUUGAAAACAAUUUGAAAUUUAUUUCGAAAAUCUUUACAAAUCCAUAGUUUGAGUCUAAAUUCACACAAUGCUCAUCCAAUUCUCUGAAACUAGUGUUUUAAUACAAACUUGUAACAUCCCAAAAUUCAGAGUAAAAUUUUUAUUUUUCAAAACAAACCCAAAGACCAUAAUUGUUUACAAAUCAUUGUUCCAAAAGUAAAAAACAUACCUAGGGUGUCCCAAAAUGGUAAAAUCCAAUAUCAUGAAAAUCAUAAGGAUGUGCACAAUCAUGUAUUCAUUUUGUCACGGUCAUCUGAACUACCUGAAACAAUAAACUGAAACUGUAAACAUGAAGCUUAGUGAGUUUCCUCCAAAGUACUACCACACAAACAUACACCAACAUGCAUACUAAGUCUACAUAUAACAGACCGAAUUACCCCUGAGUUCACAACAUGAAUUUGGCUUGCCUUCUUGCCUACAGCUCAUGUUUGGCUUGCUCCUGAGCACACAACAUAAGUUUGGCUUGCUCCCGAGCCCACAUCAUAAGUAUGUAUUGCCUUUCCGCCGUACAACUUAUGUUGGGCUUGCUCCCAAGUCUGUUGACUUCCGCAGAAAGCAGGAUAGCCUCAAUCUAACCAUAUUGUAUCAACAUAUACAUGACUAAUAACAUGUAUCCAACAAAAAAACAAUCAUAUAACUAGUAAGACAAACAGGCAGAUCUACAGAUCACCACUGCACAACAACAUCCUAUAUACCAAGACACAAAUCUAACAUAUCACUACAACAUAAUAACAUCCUUAAUACCAAUUGUAACACCUGUUUUCAUGGAUGAAUUAAAUUAGGGUUUCAAGGAGUCAAAAGGUUCAAUUUUGGGAGAAAAGAAGCCUCACGAUGUGAGACAUUGAAGCUCACGACAUGAGAUAGGUUCAUAUGAAAACUUUUGUUCAAUACUGGUCUCACGACAUGAGACAUAGACGCUCAUGGCGUGAGAAUUAAUGCAGCCCAAGCCCAUUCUCUUCUAGGGUUUCCUUCAAAUUUAAGCACCUCUAAACCCAUUUUAAGGUUCAUUCUCAACUUCCAAACCCUCUUCCACCUCAGAAAACCCUAGACUUCAUUCCUUGCUUGAUUCUUGGUAAUUUGGAGUAUUUAUUGGUUUGAUGAAGAAGAAUAAGAAGAAGGUGAUCUUUUGAUGAGGCUUGAAAGGAAUCAUCAUCGUUAUCAUCACCUUUCAUUGUUUCUGGACCCUUGUAAGUGUCAAAGCUCCCACUUUUGUAGUUGAUAGUUGCUAGAUCUAAGUUUGUCCCACUUUUCUCUUUGAUUGAGCGAGUUUGGAUGAAUGGAAACCACAAAGUUGCCAAAUUUAUGGGUUGAAAGGGCCUAAAGAGUGUCAUGAAGUUCAGGUCUAGUGAAUGGUUGGGUUUUGGGACCUUGCGUGAAAGUUGGAUGACUUUUUCUUCGAUUAUUGACCCAAAUGAGAUCUAGACAUGUAUUGGACGUAUAUGCCAUAAAAGCAUUGACUUUCAAGUGUAUUAUAGAGUUAUAAGACCUUUUGGAACUUAGAGUGAAAGACUUAAUGAAUUAAUGACUUAAAUGUUUGCUUUUUUGGCUUUAGACUGUGCUCACGACGCGAGACAUAAGGUCUCACGACAUGAGGAUUGAAUGAUCAUGUUUCUGUUAAUCAGGGACAUUAAUUAUUUCAAAAAUUAUUUAAAAAAAUAAUAAAUCUAAUUAUAACCCGAAAAAUAUAAAUAAGCAUAGAAGUUUAAUAACAAGGUUAACAAGAUGUAAAUCCCCACUUUGUUUGUGUAUCAAUCAAAUCCGUUUGAUGGUGCAAAAUCUCAAUCAAAUGGAUGAUGCCGGAUCAAAAUAAAAGAGGAGGAGAAUAAGAAUAACUUGAAUCUAUGAUGUAUUAAAGAUGAGAAUGAAUUUCCUUACAAUAGAUUCACACACACUCUCUUAUUCUCUCUUGUUUCUCUCUCUAUAACACACCUUAGAAUACACACACUUAAGCUCCUUUUUUUUGUACCCCCACAUGCACUCCUCACCCUAUAUAUAUGAGACAUGGGUCGUGAACAGGUUUACGGCGUAAACCUGUUCACAACCGUAAACUCAUAAUACAUUACAAAAAAAUACAAUUGCCUACAAAAGCAAAGUAUAAACCAUAAUUUUGACCCAACAAUCCCCCCCUUGGUUUAUAGUUUUAUUUUCUAAUUGACCCAACAAACUCCCCAUAAAAAGUAGUUGGCUUUUAUUGUUAAUCUUCAUUGGGACCUUGGCUUCAACAUUAAUCUUCAAAUUUAUUCACAUCAUCAAGAUGAACAUAUGAAUCUUCAAUAAAUGACUUCAUCUUGAGCAAUUGACAUUUCUGCAGAAUUUGACAUUGAACGCACAUUAGGUGAGGAGGCUUCUUGUAGAGAUUCUUGAAAGAUGGCGCUUUCAGCUUGAGAAUCUUCAGAGAUAACUCAUAUUCUGGAUCACUUUAGCAGGUUUAAGAUAGCGGCAGACUGAUUAAGGAAGCUUCAAUGCAAUCCGUCACAUAAUCUUCAAGUGCAGCUUCACCUUGCUUCUGGGGUUGAAAAAUUGAAUGUUGAAAGAAUAAUUUUCAUUUCUUGCUCCUUCGAAUGAGACUUCUUCGAUGAUCACGGAUUAAACUUUGGCUCGGAAAUCUCGAUGCAGUCUCCAUGAGUCUCAUCUACACCUGAAUUCACGUUUCAAUACAAAACAAAAAUAAAAGAAAACUUAGCACACAAAUUAAAACAGAAACAAAAAUAUUUUUGGAAUUUUGAUUUUUCGGAUUUUUGUUUGAUUUUUUUUUAAUUCUCCCCCUAAAUUUGUGCAUAGAGGAAAAUUAUGAACAAAUUUAACAAAAACAAAAAUAUUUGGGAUCAAAGUUGUGAGACAGUCUUAACUUUGUUUAUCAGUACCUUCCCCUUCAUAAAUAGAUCCGGUUAAUUUCCGGUAUUGUGGUCCACUUAAACACAAAGCAUAUCGACAAACUUUUCUAAAUAAACCAUUUAGCUGACGACGACCACGGGUAUUAUUAUCCGCUUAAAUUAAGCAGCGAGAUCUACAGACAACCUCUAAAUGGUUCAAUUUUAGUUGCACUAGAAUGCGUUCCCCACUUCCCGAUAUACCCUGGUUAUCAAUAACUUCCUAAGGACUCCUUACUUUUGGUGAGUAAACAAUUAUUAAGGAGGAAGUCAGAUUUAGAGAUGGAUGUAUAUGUUGUGUCCUAGGUCGGAUCUCUUUCAAUAACGCAGAGGGGGCAACAUAUGACUAAUAGUACUAGAAUGAUUGAGAGGUAGAAUGUUGCAUAUGUUGUGUUCCAGGUCGGAUAUGUUUCAAUCACGCAGAGAAUACAACAUAUGGCUAACAGAUAGAAAUAGUUUCAUAGAUAGGGAGGUGCGUAGAAAUAAAGUUGCUAUACUGCAUUCCAGGUCGNAACAAAAUUCGAAUUUUAUUAAGUUUAAACAAUUAUGGUAAUUAUCCUAAGUCAAAAUAGGUAAAAAUCCCGAAAACCCGCCUGUUUGACAGCUAAACUCGCCGAGUCCACAAUGGGACUCGCCGAGUACAUCAGGCAGGAGGCAAAAAACGAUUUUUUCAAGCAUGGACAAGCAUACAAAGCAUCAAUACAAUAGAAACCAAGCUAGGCUCUGAUACCACUGAUGGGUUUUGGUCAUAAGACAUCCUAUGUGCUCAUACAAACCCUAAUGCUUGGAUCUAGGUUUCUCUAUUGUACAUGCUUUGAAUCCAAGACUAUAAACCCUAAUUCUAGCAUAUGGAAAUCAAUAUUAACAUAUAAUUAGGUUUAUGAUAUUACCUUGAUUGUUAUGUAGCAAUAACAAUCCCAAUUCCUCCUUGAAUUGACUUUGGAAGGCUUAGAGUCACAAGUGUCACUCCUCUAAUGGCUUACAAACACCAUAAGCAAGUGGAGAAGGUAUAAAGAGAGAGGAGAGAGGUAGGAAUUCGUCCUUAGGACUUCUUGGGAAGGGUUAGACGAAUUCAUAAGCCUUAGGGGGUUUAUAUAGGUGUAAAGAUUAGGGUUUUAGUCCUUAUCCUUAUCUAGUUGCUUGUCCACCAAGCAACCAUAAGAUAAGUCCUAGAAACCCUUAUCCUAGUCGAAUUCUAAGGGAUUUACACCUCAAAUUCGUUCACCAUAUAUAUAAGAUAAUCCUUACCUUAUUUUGUAACUAUCACAUAAUUACAAUUCAGCCCCUCUAGUUUAAUUAAUUACACUUGAUCACAAAAUUAAUUCUUAAUUAAUUAUUGACCAAUAUUAAUUAAACAAAUAUGAUUUCUCCUUUAAUAUAUUAUUCUUAUAACAUAUUAAUAAAUCAUAAUAACCUCUCUCUCUAUUUAUUUCUCCAAUCAAGUUGCUUUGGUGAAGGCAACCCAAAAGGACCAUGCACCAUCGGGUCAAGUACAUACCAAAAUAGUUAUGGACUUAGACACUAAUCCAACAGUCUCCCACUUGGAUAAGUCUAACAACUAUUCUGCGUAUGACUUCGGAUCCCGAUCUGCAAUCGUAGCUUUCCAAAGCCGCUGUCAACUCUGAUCAUAUCAGAUACGCGUGUCCUUAGAUAAGGGAUCAUAUAUUCCUCCAUUCUAGAUAUCAUAUGAGAUAUGAUUUCAAAUCAUUCUCUUUGUACUAUAUCUCGAUUUCCGAUUUAUGACGACUGACUAAUUGAACAAAUCAAAUUAGCCCUAGCCCGGCCGAGCAUUUACGUUUGUCAUCACUAAACCAUCGAGGGGCCCAAAGAUAUCGCUUUUAUCCUACUUUGGAUAAAAGGAACGGAUAAACUUUGAUACAAUGCUUGCUUGCACUCACUCACCGAAUCACACACAACAAUAUGUUUUAUAACACCAAGUUACUAGUGCGUUUACAUAUUAUCAAUGUGCAACCGAUUUGCAAGAUACAACUCACACAUCUCGGUUUCAAGAAUAUAAGAUGUUAUCGUCUCACCAAUCACUCGUGAUACAAUUCAUGGAGUGAUCCAAGUGAGCGUGGGUUUAAUCCAAUGCUCAAAUCAUAUUCAUAAGCACUCAUGAACGUUGCAGCAAACAUUUGCUUAUGUCUAAUACUCUUUUAGACAAUCCACACACCAAUUCACGACAGUCUUCAUUCAUAUCUACUUCCAACAUAUGAACGACUGUGGCCCGUUUGAAUAAUUCGAUUAUUCUUAAUAAACUCAAUUAUUCUGGAAGUCAAAACAUGCAAAUGUGAAACACAAGAAUAAUACUAAUCCCAUAUGGCCUCAAACCUUUGAGUAUAAAUAAAACACCUUUUAUUUAUCACCAUAUUGAUUACUCAUUAUUUGUCGUUUCGGGUAAUCAACUUCUUACUUGAAUUCCAACACUUGUCCCAUGCUCCUAGCAUGCACACAAUGUUUACCUAUGGUUCUUACUUUGUGAAAUAGAUCUCAUUGAAUACAUUUCCAAUCCUUCUCAUUUCACAACUCCAAAUCCCUUUUUCAUAAGUGAAAGAAUAUCAAAUUCUUGCUACUUAUAGAAUAUGCUAGAUUCUAACAUUCUAUGCAACUAUCCUUUCGUAAUGUCACUGCACCAAAGUCACAAAGACUAUUGCCAAUGAUAUUACAAAGUCCUCUAUCGGAGAUUGUUACAAGACAAUUCCAUAGACGUGAUGUCUCUCACUCAAAGUACAUUCUUUGAACAUCCUUUUGCAUAGAAGUUUCUAAUCUAGUCAUAGAUUUCUCAAUAUUCAAUUCCCAAUAUGGACACACUUCCAUAUGUUCCAUAUGACAACUCAUUCUUAAUAGAAUCUUAUCUAUUCGUAAUGAUGUCGAUAUGGUCCAUCCAAUAUGGAAACAUUUCCAUAUUUUCCAAUACUAUACUUCCAACUACUCACAAGCGACCAAUCCUCGUCGAACUUUGGAUUGUCCUUUGAUAGUUGUUUAAUUAUUUUAGUCAAAACCAAUUCUAGUCCCUUUUCCCUCUAAAUGCGCUCGACAUUUGGAAAAUUUUAGAAUGGUCAAACAUUAAAGCAUUUGCAAUCGAUCCUAUACCCGAAGCGUAUGGGACACGACGCAUAAUGUUUUAUUUGCUAUGUUCUCAAAAUUCGAAUUGUGAAGAGGGAUGCCGUAAUCAUAAUCGAAAUUUUAAGAACACACUAUGUACCUUUGACUAAAUUUAUUAACAUUUCUCAACCUAAUCCUUUAGAUUUGAAAUGAAGCAUAAUAUUCUCUCCCUUAAUUAUAGCAAAACAACCUUUCAACUCUUACAACUUUGCAAAGUAUGACUCUUGUUUUCUAUAAUUAAUAUUGCUAACCUUGCAAUACUUUCCUUAAUAAUCAUACAAUCAUAACAUUUAUGCUCCCACUAUCAUGAUGAUUAUUAUAAAACAUAACACUUAUGCUCCCACUAGCUUCGACAUGUAUUCAUAAACAUCUUAACUUUCAGAAAAACAAUACUUAUUGAAUUUCUUAAGUUCAUGUUUCUAAUACUUAGUGCUUUGAUAAUCUUUUAUCAAGGCUUCUUGAACUUAUACACCUUUGCCUUCGAUAGUUCAUAUGUGUGUCUAAACAAUUAAGACUAAUUGCCAAACCUCACAAUUCAAAUUAUGGAAAGGGAUACCGUAACCAUAAUCGAAUUCGAGAAUGCAAUUUUACAAUCACUAUCUUCUUAAAAUCUUUCUUAGUGAAAGCAUUUCCUCACAAUCAUUUUCAUGAAGGAGGAAAUCUUAUGACACUUAGAUUUGAGCGGUGUAUGUGUUCCUAUCCAUGUGAAUUUGUUAAAACCAAAGUUUACGACAAAUUCAAACUCAUAUGGACCGAACUUUCUUAAUCUUGAUUUCUUGCCUUAUGGUAGCACAGCUGCCCACCAUGUCUUCCAAGUAGUUAAGCAGCUCACCCUUUCCUAUCAAUGUACCUUUCAUUGAUUAAGGUGCUUUGCCUUUUAUGCGUUCAAAAUGAGAACUCAUAGAACUCACAUGCAUAAUUAACUCGAUUGGAUUGGCACAGAAACAAAAUAAUGUCAACACGAUAGGUUGUAAACCUCAACUCGUGUGCUAGUGAUGAUCGAUAAGGUUUAUUUGAUUUGUUCUUGAAACCUUUCAAGACCAUUAAGACUCCCACUGACUCCUUGACAUAUACGAUUCUCUUGUCAAAACAUUUCUUGACAAACAAAUAUUCAAGAGUUAGUGUAGCUUUUAUCAAAACAAAACACUUCAUAAUUUUGGUCUUAGUUGGUCUUUGUCUUAUCCAAGACAUCACAACUUUCCACAUUUGAUGAAUGUUAUAAACCUUCUUAAUACUAUUCACUCAAUGUCACAAUCUUAACUCUAAGACUUGUUUUGGAACGAAGUAUGAUUGACUUCUUGAUUUAACCAUUUCUUCAAUUCUUGAUUCCUCUUCUUAGACAUACAAUUGUACUAAGACUCACUUAGAGGAUCAAUUGAGAUAUGGUUCUUAAUCAUUAAGACCUAUCAUAAAGCAUAAAAGCUACUCUCCCUUCUUCUUAGAAUGGAGAAACUUUUAUCUUUCUGCCUACUUGAUUCUUCUUAUUCGUUCUGCUAUUGAUUUAAACAUUUUCAAUCAAUUCAGAAUUACACUUAAUCUUAUAAGUAUAAUCAUAUUUACUAAACCUUUAGUAAAUCAUGACGAAUAUCUUGUUACUCUUAUGGUGGACUUUGAUCAACACACAACUUUGUGUACUCGAUCUCCUAGUCCUUCACUUGACACUUUGUCAAUGAAUUAGUCUAAUUUCCAAAUACGAAAUUUCUCAUUCAUCGUGCAUCCACGUUGCAUGAUUCCAAGUUUCUUUCCAAUUGAAACUUGGGCGAUGAGAAACUCUCCCUAUUUGGUAAAUUCCUGACAUUUCCAUAAAUAACAUAACUAAGAAUCAUAUCCAUUCGUUGUAGAAGUAUUCAAACAUCAAUUUUCACAUAACGAUUUCAUUGCAAGGAAGUAAACAAAUAAAUAAAUAAGUCAAACAAAAUUUAUUUUAUUUAUAAAAGCAGCGGAAAAACAUUUGUCCUUACAAUGCAAAAUCUAUUGAAAACUAUGUAAAAAGAAAAUUUCUAACAACUCAAUCAUAACUAUCUAAGCUCAAAAUCCGAUCUUCAAGUCCAUGCGAUCAAGAUCCAUCUCUUGUGAUUAGAUUCAUCUUGCUCUCUUAUCAAGUCUCCUUUCUUUUCACCGAUCCUUCAAAACAUUCAAAUGCAAUCUUAUCACAUCAUGCAUUAAGAAUCAAUGAAUAGGAACUUAAUGGAGUUAGAUAGUGGAUUUUACCUGAAGCGCAGACAUACUCUUUGACUCUCCCAUCUUCUGGACUCUUCAGACUCUUUGGGCAGACUUGUAUCCAACGCCCUUUCUUUUGGCAGCAAACGCAGGUCGGUUCUCCUAGAACGUCCUCGGAAGCAUGGUCGGUUGACUUUCCCAACAAAUACGCUCCAUUGCUUCGCCAAAUCAUUUCUGAUUCAGCAGCAAUGAGCAUGUAAGUUAGGUCAAUNGCAGAUUCACCAAUCAACUUUGCUUUUCUAUUGCGCCAAACCAUUGCUGAUUCAGCAGCAAUAAGCAUAUAGGUGAGAUCUAUAAGGGUCACGUCGUGGUUCAUCAUAUAGUACUCUCUUACGAACUCACUAUACGAGUUAGGAAGUGACUGAAGAACCCAAUCAACAGCCAUCUCUUCACCGACAACGGAUCCCAUCAUUCUUAACCUAUCAAUGUGUGACUUCAUCCCUAAGACAUGUGCACACACCGACUUGCCCUCUUUAUGUUUACUUGCCAAAAAGGGCUUGAGUGAUAUUGAACUUUUCAAUUUUACAAUCUUGUGGGUUAGGAAGAAUAAUUGGAGGAGGAGGAGGAAGUGAAGCAUGAUUUCUUGUUCCUCGAUCGAAUCGUGGAAUAUCAUCUUCAUGUGGAAUGCUUGUUCCACGGGAUUUGGGAAGACCAUAGUUGUCGAACUUUGACAUCUACAAAACGGGAGAAAACAAAUUCAAGUUAGUUGAUUGAUAGAGUCCUUAGUAAAUCACCCAAAUGAGAUACUAAGGCUAGGACCCAACACAAUAUUCUACAACUCGGGAGAGGGAUGCCGUAACCCAAAUUGCAGAACAUUUGAAGGUAAGUGAAUGACGAUUCACUAAUUUCCACCAUGAAAAACGAAAAAGAAAUUUAAGUUUUAAAUCUAUGAAAACUCCUAGAUCCUUUGAGAUUCAUUGAACUUUCAAUGGCAUGUUUAAAUCUCGAUAUGCCCCUCUUGUUUGUGACUGGGAUGCCGAGGAUCACAAAGCGGGUGUGAAUAACCAUGCAAACUUACAUGGUGCCCUCACAUGUUACAGUCACCUAUUCGAUGUGCCGGUAAACCACACACGCUCCACCGAACUAUGACAAACAUUGAGUCACCCUUUGCUACCUUUGCUUAGAACCAUUUAGUGUGCCGGUAAACCACACACGCUCCACUAACGUCUUCGCAAGGGCACAAAGUGUAAUUUCAUGGAAUUGCAUCAAUUCACUUUUGCCUAAGUAACUAAGAUUGGGAAUUUUAUGAAAACAUUUAGUUACUUUUAUACUUCAUUAUACUUAUAAUGGAAGGUUUCGUCCUAUCCUACCCGUUCGGCUAACGACCCUCCACUAGUCAAGAGUGCGGUGGGUAAGAGUGGAUACCCAUUCAAUCGCCAUUUUAUAGGCAAUUUCCUUAAACACCCCUUAUAGACCAGCUUCGUGAAUGAGGCCUACUAACGGUAAGACUGACUUUUACUCAUACAUAUAUAUAAUGUUAGACUUUUAAUGUUAUAUAUAGUAUAGGGUGUAUUUUACACUUUUAAAAUACUAGGUGGUCAAAUUUAACAAUUAUACUUUUAAUUCAAUUAAAUUGUAAACCAAAACUUUUAUGGAUUUAUUAAACCUCUUUUAAUUAUACACCUUAAUUAAUUAAUAAAACCAUAAGGGUGUGAUUUGAACUUUUUCAAAACAAUACUAGGGUUUUAGAAUUUAACAUUCCUAAUUAAACUUUUAAUCAACUUUUAAAUUCCAAAACUUGAGGGCAAGUUUUGAAACAUUUCAAAACAUUAGGGUUUAGAAUUUAAAUAUACAUCAAAAUUAAACAAUUAAUCAAAAUUUAAAUUCCAAAACUUGAGGGCAAGUUUUGAAACCUUUUUCAAAACAUUAGGGUUUCAACUAUUUAAAUUUCAAAACAACAAAACUUUUGAGGUCAAAUUUAAACUAUAAAACCUAAAGGGGAAAAUAUGAAACAUUUCAUAACACAAGGAUCAAAUAACAAAUAAUCUAAAUUAACAUUUAAUCACAUAAUUAUCCAUAUUUGAUUUAUUUAAUGAUUUCUUGCAAAACAAUUUACCAAUUUAAUCAAAAUAAUUAAUCAAUUAUCACAUAAGGAAACAAAUAUUUUAUUAAUUGAUAAAUAUCUUCAAUUAGAUCAAGAAUAUAGUCAUAUAUAUCAAAAAAUCGGAUUUAUAUUGAUCUAAUAUGAUAAGGCAAGUAUCCUCAAGCAAAAACAGCAAGAAAUCCCGGUUUUCCCUCUUACUGACCAGCCGACUCGUCGAGUCAGGCAUGGACUCGUCGAGUUAGCAUGAACUCGGCGAGUUCAUCUAAAAAACUCGGCGAGUUCAGCCCCCAGAAACACAAAAAUCGAAUUUUUUCAACAUACAAAGCAUCAAUACAAUAGAAACCAAUCUAGGCUCUGAUACCACUGAUGGGUUUUGGUCAUAAGAACAUCCUAUGUGCUCAUACAAACCCUAAUGCUUGGAUCUAGGUUUCUCUAUUGUACAUGCUUUGAAUCCAAGACUAUAAACCCUAAUUCUAGCAUACAAGUAAUCAUAUUAGAUAUUAGAAUGGGUUUAUAAUGUUACCUUGAUUGUUAUGUAGCAAUAACAAUCCCAAUUCCUCCUUGAAUUGACUUUGGAAGGCUUAGAGUCACAAGUGUCACUCCUCUAAUGGUUCACAAACACCAUAAGCAAGAGGAUGAAGAGGAGAGAGGAUGGAGGCUGCCCAAAACGUGUUCUAACCCUAGAAGAGAAGUUCCCCACGUUUUUGAGCCUUAAGGGUUCUAUAUAUAGUGAGGCUAUUAGGGUUAUCUAACAAGGAAACCCUAAUUUGGAUGCUUAAGCCCUAAGCAACCCAUGGAUCCCUUUCCUUAAGGCCUUGGACGAUUUCUUAUGGGCUUCCCCUUAGAAUUCGUCCAUUCCUUAAUACAAGGCAAUCCAUGGCCCAAAUUGCAAUUAUCUUAUAAUUACAAUUCCAGUCCCUUAAGUUUAAUUAAUCUCUUUUAGUCACAAAACUAAUUACCAAUUAAUUAUUGACUAAUAUUAAUUAAACAAUAUGAUUUCUCCUUUAAUAUAUUAUUCCCAUAAUAUAUUAAUAAAUCAUAUUUAAUCCUUACUCUCCAUAAUUCAUCCUAUCAAGUUGCUUUGGUGAAGGCAACCCAAAAGGACCAUGCACCAUCGGGUCAAGUACAUACCAAAAUAGUUAUGGACUUAGACACUAAUCCAACAAGUUCUAGAUGCGUAUUAAUUUAGUGUAUUCCGUAUCUCACUGCUCAAUCUACCCGAGCGUCGUAUGGUCAGUCCAAACAAUCUUAUCCAAAUCCACAAUGUCAAAUCCUCAGUGCCUACCAGCACAUUGAACACAUAGUCUAGAUAAUUCAGAUUCAGUCCCUUACAUUGGUUUUAGAUUGCCCGUUAUCACUUUCUUGAUAUCACUUCCCAAAUAAUGCCUACUAACGAAAAACUAUAAGAAAAUGAAAAAUUGUCUUUGAAAAUAAUCAGUUUAAGAUAAACUCAGGAGUAUAAAGAGCAAAACGCAAACCGUAAUUCACCUAUUGAAUUUGCAUCCAGAAGGUCUGAGAACAGCACGCAUAAUCUCAUAACAGAUCUGAAAAUUCAUGUCAUUAAGCACUAACCCCAUUUGUGAUCUCUUCAUUUCCUCUUUUCCCGCAAAAGGAUACAUACUCUCAAACAAAGGUUUGAAUGUUGUACAAUGGAGACAUGUCCACUAUCAUGUGCCUGGAACAGCCACUACCAACAAACCAAAGUCAUAGCUGCUCCGACGCAUAGCGGGAUCAGUUGGUCUUUGGUACACAGUCCAUUUUGAAACUGGGUCCACCUUUGUCAUCUACGCAAGAUACAUUCUCCCACGACAUGUCCUGUUUAUCACAAACAAAAGAUGUAGAAAUAUUAGAGUCAUUAGUUUAUUUGGGAGAUUGUCACACCCCAAACUGGAACGGCGGAAACGUUCGGGGGCGGAUGACUUCAUGUAGUAUCGUAACAGUUGAAUGCAUAGUAAAGAAAGCAAUAUAACCAUCAUAUAUAUAAUUGAAAGUUUAUAUUGUUGAAAGGUAAUGUUCAAAACCAAUUACAAUAUGAUGUCAAAAUAAGUUUAACCUGACGUCACAACGUCCCUUCUUCAAAAGUUGUUUGUUACCUGUAUUUACUGAAUCCCUGAGGAAUACAAGUAGUUUUGAAAGAGUAGAUCAGCAUUUAAGCUGGUGAGUUCAUAAGUAUUUAAUGACAAUGUUUGUAAGAACUAAAAUGAAAUGGUUUGUUCUUGUUUGUUUGUUCCUAAAAAAUCUCAUAUUUUCUACUAGUAUAAAUGUAGCCUUCUACCCAGACCAAUGUUAGUUUCUAGAAAUUCGAUGUUUUUCCCGUAGGUGGGUGGCAGUUUAGUAGUUUCAAAACUGUAACACAAUAAUGUUUUUUCAUGACUAGAAUAGUCGACUUAUGUACGUAUAAACUCACCAAGACAUUUGAAAACCCCGCAAAUCAAUGUGUUUUUAAUACUCCAUGUGAGUUUUAUAACCAUGCUAUUGACUAGGACGGCCUAUACACAACGUUCUUCAGGCGUUGAAAUGUUCUGACGUUUGUCACCCCAAAUGGUGUACUGUAGCUAACAGUCAGGGCGCGGGGUUUUCAAUCCCGUAUAGAUCUAUUCACAAACACCAUGCUCCCCCUACAAUGGAUUAUGGUAUAUAAUAUAGGACUUGAAAUGCGUACUCGAACGUACAUGAAGUUUAAUGUCUUACAAAACUUAGUAUAAAACAGAUUUACGUAUGAAAAUGUUCGUUUGUUCUUGUAUAUGAAAGUAUCUCCUUGAGAUAGUGUUUCUAGUAUGUAAAAGCUCAUGACGUUCUCGUAAAACUAUACCUAUUAUAGUUUUCCAAAAGUGUGUUUCGUUUGUAUAGUAAACCCUAGUGUAAUGCUCACUUGUUAUGAAAAGUAUAACUUUUGUAGUGCCAAAAUGGACACAUAUAUAUAAAGUAUAAACAAAGUGUUUGAUUUGUAUAUAUAACUACAUAUUUCAUUUCAAAAGACAAGAUGUUAUCGUGAUAUAUUUUGCAUACGAAAGUUUCCAUAUAGUAGUUAUAAAUCACAUAUGAUUCACUUGAUAAAAAGUGUAUAAUGAAACUUUAUGUAACACACGAUAAUAAACGUGUGUUUACUUGUAUCCCCCCUAAAAGCGUAUAAAAGCAUUUAUAAAACAUUUAAAAGUGUAGAUUAUAAGGGUAUGAACUCACCUGGUUGAUUUAAGAAAGUGAGAUGAAAAUCGAGCAGAACUUCGGCUUGUGAAAGUCGAUUUUCUCAGGAUUUUCGAGAAUCUCGGAAAUACAAAACCUUCCUUUGGGACUUGAACGCGAAAACUGGGGCUUUUGGAGGGUCUCGGGGGCUUAGAAGCAGAGUUUCAGCAUAAGAGAAGAGAGAAUUGAGCACUAGAACUCGAAACCAUCGGUUUCUAUUUAUAGGCUGAGUUUUGGGAAAUUCACGUCGUGAGCCCGACCAGGCCUAUUCCCUUAGACUUGAUGGGUCUUUGGCAAACUCUGAAACCCAUCAAUCCAAGACUCACGUCGUGAGCCUUCCUGCUCACCUCGUGAGGCACCUGACAACUUCGCUUUUCGUGUCUUAAACUUGUAAAAUCCGUAUCUUCCGCGUACGAGCUCCGUUUUUGACACUCUAUAUAUGAACACGUAGGUGAGAAUGUACUCUACAACUCUUGUUUAGACUCCGUCGGCUGGUUUUGACUUUAUUUUUAAUUAAUUAUUUUUAACAGGUCGGGACACGAAAAGUCCGUUUAAAACUUCAUAACUCCUUAGUCUGAUGUCCGUUUUCGUCAGACUUUUCACCGUUGCGCUACUAUUGUUAAGGCCUUCGAUUCUCAUUUAGGUUGUAUCGGCCAAAAAUCUCUCGAUCUCUAUUUCGAGUUUUUAGCUGUCUACUGCUAUACUCGAAUCUUGGAAAAAUCAUAACUUCCUCUUGCGAAGUCAGAUUUGGACGUUCUUUUUAUGUACGUUUAAGGUUUAAUGAUAUUUACAACUUUCAUUUAGAUACUUAAGGCUAAAAAAUAUUGUAUUGAAACUUCGUGUUUUGCGUUUAACUGUAUUGCCGGUUUUGUCGGAAAUCUUAGAAUGGUCAUAGCUUCUUCGUUAUAACUCGGAUUUUAGUGUUCUUAGUAUUUCUGUCAACCUUGACUCGAUAUCUAGCAUAGUAGGUAACCCAAUAGAGACCUUUGAACAUUUUAUUUUCGAAGUUAAUUUCAUUACAUCAAAAGAGGUUACAAUACUUGCCUUUCAGGUUAUUACAUAGAUUCGAAAUAUCGAGUUGUCACAGAGAUUGAGCUUUCAGAACCCAUUUGUAGCUGGGUUUAACCCAUUUCUUGUUGGAUCGGAUGGGUGCCUUGACACAUGAUUUUGAACUCAAACCCGAUCGCCAAGAUGACUUUGACCUAGCCGGUCUUGGUUUUGCUGGAGCAUCUCUUGGAUUGGACUUCUUGGAUGGCAUUCCCUUCUUGUUCUUGGGAGUUGGAUCCUUGGCCUUCUGCGCGUUCCAGUCACCAUGGUCUGAACGUGGCCUUGAGGGGUUUCUUUUGAAGUAUCUCCCUCUUGGUGCGUUCUGCCAACCUUGUGCAUAGUAGGGAACAUAUGCGCGAUUAGGACAAUUUCUGGCAAUGUGUCCAGGUGUUCCACAGUGAAAAAAUGUCCUUUUCUUCACUGUGAAGUUGUUUCUUCCUACCCCUGGUGUCGUAUCCUUACCUUGUCUCUUAUUGUUCCCACAAGCACAAUUACAAUAGGCACUCUGUUUCACUGGAAUUGGUGGCCUGUAUUUCUCAACAGCAGGUUGAUCAGAAGUAGCUGAGUUCAAAGCAACAUAUUCAGAGUUCUAGGAGACGUUGGUUUGUUCAAUGGUGUUCUCCUUGUUCUCAUCAUCUGCUACUUUACCUGCACAUGAAGUAGAUGUGCUAGGAACAAGAACAUCGAUAUUUUCAAACAAAUCAUCAAAUAUGUCAAAAAAAAUUAACUCAACAUGAUCCGGAGCAGAAGCAUCACAAGAUGUAUCAUUGACUUUAACAUCAAAAACAAAAAGACUUAUCAUUUGAUACAGAAACAACAGGUUCAGAAACAUUUUUAUUUUCAUAAGCAUAUCCUUCAACUUAUUUCUUUGAUUGAUUUAAGGAUUGAUCUCCAUGGGAAGUAGAAACAUUAGUAUUUUCAACAUUAAUAAUGCCUCCUGAAACAUAACCAACUGGUUUUCCAUAAACCAUGAAUGGUUCGUUGGCAAUCUCCUUUUUAGUUAAAGGGUGAUAUUGAUAUGUGUGAUUGAAAGGAGGAGUAACUUUAUCGUAUCCUAAACCCUUUUGCUGGUUAUCUUUAAACUGCAGACAAUGAUCUAUCAUGUUCGCAACUACUUCGCUUGACACAUCAAAUUUUCUGAAAUCAAAAUCUGCAGUUUCAAAUUUGUUUGUUAAUGUGUCAAGCUCAGUAUUUAACUCAUCAAGUUGUCUCAUGACAUAGUUAUAAUUUACAUAUUUAUUGCUAUAAUCUUCCUGAAGCUUCCUAAAGUCUUUGGUUUUUGCUUCUAAUUCAACCUUUAGGGGUUUGUGUCCUUUCCUGAGUUGAUAUCCUUCAUAUCUCAUAUCCUCAACUUCUCUUUUUGUAACGACCCAAAAUUUAAGACCAAAAAUUUCUUUUAAUAAUUCACUACUCAAAGUAAAAUCAUCAUUUCCAAAACAUAAUAUGAGUAUAAGUUUUCAAAACACAUGUUUAUUAUCAUAGUAAACAUUCCCAGGCUGUCUAAUCUAUGGUGUGUGUCAUGCGAUCACCCCGAGCUCUUCCCUCCGCUACCGGAAGUACCUGAAACCAAAAUUGAAAACUGUAAGCACGAAGCUUAGUGAGUUCCCCACCCUACCACAUACCAUGCAUAACCAUAUACUGCACAUACUGGGCCACGCCCAUUAUCUUGGGCCUCGCCCCCUACCUUGGGCCUCGCCCGCUUCAACGGCCCCGCCGCUCCAGGCCCCGCCUAGCUUCGAGCCCCGCUCGGAUACAUAUAUGUUUUACUUAGGCCUCGCCUGUCCCAGGGCCUCGCCCGCCAACAAAUAAUAACACAUAAACAUUUCACAACACAUAACUAACACAUGCAACUGGUUCUGUCCUAAGGCCUCGCCUAUCCUGGGCCUCGCUGUCACACCCCCGAACCAGACGGCGGAAACGUCCGAGGGCUAUCGUGACUCAUUGAAUACCAUCACAAUGCAUAUACAUGAAACAUAACAUUAUACAUCACCAACAUUUGGAAUGAUACAACUGGUAGCGUUUACAUUCAUUACAUUGUUUCAAAACAUUACAUUCCCAAAAAUGACUGUUUGAUACUACUUAAACCACAGCAAAACGUCAUAGAGUACAAUUCAUCCUUCACUUUAUCUGUUACCUGAGAAUACAAGUAUUUUGAAAAACGUCAACAUAUGAAAUGUUGGUGAGUUCAUAAGUAGUGUUUGAAAUCCAAUGUAUUGUUUGAAAACCAUCAGAAAAUCCGAUAUUUUCUAAUAAUAGAAUAGUGUAAAAAUAUGUGAAGAUCCGUGAGUAUGCUUGUUUGAAUUCUAUAGAUGUAAGCGUAAGAGUUGUGAAAUUCGACAGGUAAUUCAUAAUUGUACUUGUUGAAAACUCUAGGAAAACCCGACGUUUUCCUAUCACUUUGCUUUACUUAGUUUGUGUAUUGUUGUUUCGUUGCGUUAGAGGUAAUCGUUGAGCUCCGGAGGCAUUGAGAGUACAGUGGGUGGUGAAGUGUUGUGACGUGCGUUAAUGAAAACGUCCAAUCGACAACCUUACAAGCGAUCCCUUAGGCGUCACUCGUAAUUAUUCACACAACUCAAUCCUCCCGGACUUGUGUAGUCCCACGACCGGAGGGAAGAAGAGAAGGUGCGAAACCCUCGGUAUUUCCCCGCGUCGUUCAAGACUAUUGCAAUUGCGAAGGGCCCGAAGCCCAACCCGCAAUCGUGAGUUCCCGACUUUACUAGCAGCACUGAAGGACCCUUGGGGUCCAGCAACAUGUUUGCCAUUGAAAGUCCUUUUACGUUAUGUCGGAUCGGUAAAACCCAACACUUCGUAAGAUAGAGGUCUUCGGGCCUUAAGAUCAGGUCAUUGGGCUAGCUAGGCUCAACGAACAAGAUUUUACACUUUUGGGGCCCAAAGAUGGUGCGUAGACGUCUGUGCACACUCGCAUGUAUAGUGACUUCCCAAUCGUUAUUAGUUAUGAAUCGUAAUGUCGUAAUGUCAUAGUGUCGUCGUGUUAGUAGUUUCGGAUUUUUAUUGGUUCGAGACCGAACCAAUUCGUUUGACAACGACUUUUGGUAUUGUAAUGUAUUGUAUUUCGUCAAUAGUCGUGGUACCAUCAUUUGGUCAAAUUGCAUGUAUUGAACUAGCCUUGAGAAUUUUCUGUUUUCAGUCCCUCCUUGUUUGUAAAAUUUACUUUUUCAACCCCUUUAUUUCAAUACUUUACGGUUUGGUACUUAAAUCAAUUUUCUUGACAUUUUAAUACCAAAAAUUAUUGAAAUAAAUAUUUUCCAGCAUAUUUUUCAUAGAAAACAGCUUAAGCCCCUGAAAUUUCAGUUUUCUCGGUUAUAACCCAUCUUUUUCGCAAGUUUGACAAUUUUGGCCCAAAUUGUAAAAUUUUUGCAACUUUAGUCCCCUUUAAAUUUAAAAAGCAUUUUAAACCUUUGAAAAGGACUUGGAACACUUAUAGUCCACUGUUUUACAGAAAAAUACAGUUUUGGCCCUCCAAAACAGAAAAUUUCGCAUAAUGGGCCUCAUUGGGCCGAAAAUGUCAUCUUUAGCCCAUUAAGCUUGGAAUUUAUGUUUUUAACCCUCCAAAUAGUAUAUUUUCAGAAAAUACAUUAUGUAAACUGUUUUGACUCAUCUCACCCAUCAGAUUUCGAAAUAUUUCAUUUUAGGCCCUUUAACUUUGUAUUUUUAACAUUUAUGUCAAAAAAAUGUGUUUUUAGCCCAAGGUAUGUAUUGUUAAGCCACAUAGCUAUUUUUCUUGGCAUACUUUGUAUGUAGUAGUAUAUUUUAUGCUAGUAUAAGAUAUAUCUCGGUUUUUAGCAAGUUAUAAUUAGAUCUAGCAUCAAAAUCAUACAAAACAUACAUAUAAGCAUAGAAAUCACCCAAAACAUACACAUAAUGAUGGAUCUACACCUUUGCUUGUAUUCUCCCCCACAAAAACUUAUAAAAACCGAAAAUAAGGGGGUAUGAAACUCACCUUGGGUGUUGAUUCGGUUUUUGAAGAAAGAAUGGAAGAAAUGAAGUGAUUUUUGGCCUUUGCACUCCUUGAUGAAGUUUUCGAGUUUAUGGAGUUUUCUAGAGUGCAAGAUCACGAUUUUUGCAUGGAUUAGGAAGAGAUUUUUGAUAAAACAAGGAAUACAAGUCAUAGAUCCAAGCAAAACCUUACCUUAGAUGAUGAUUUUUGUGGAAGAACUUCCUUGAAUGCUUCCUAAAUCUCGAGAUUUUGGAUGGAGAAGAAGAAAGAAGCCUUGAGUGAUCUAGAGAGAAUGGGAUGGAUUUUGUGUGAGUGUGUGUGUGUUGUGUUCGGCCGAGAGUGAGAGGGAGGAGAGAAGAGAGUGAUUUUUGAAGUGACAUGCAUGGAAGAAUGAGAUGAUUUGCAUGGUUAUCCAAUAGAUAAUAAUGAUGUGGCACAACAAGUCAACUCUUCCAUCCUCUUGGGCUUGUGCAUUGGGCCGAGAUUUUUGGAAGGAAGAAAGGUUUUUGGGCUUUUUGCUCCUAAGCCCAAUAUUAGAGUUAGUUUGAGUGAUCAUUGACCUUAUAAGAUAAAAUUGUGAUUUUUAUGCUUUAUUAAGCUAGAUUAGGUUAAUCAUGGAUCAAAGCUUUUAAUUCAUUUCAUUCUAGGCCCAAAAUGACCCCAAAAUGUUGAAUUAAAUUAAUGUGGGUCCAAUUAGAGCCCAUUUAAGGGUUCUAAGCCCAUGAUAGUUAAAUUGGAAGCUUAUUGGUCCAUUUAGAUCCAAUAAGGAAGUCCUAGUCCCAAAAUGGACCAAAUCAAGAACUUCUAGGGUUUUCCAAUUGUUUGAUGUAGUGAAUUGGGGUUUAGUUUUCCAUUGAGUAAGCAUCAUACAUGCUCUUGAGUUUUUGAAUUCAACAUUUACUUGAGUAUAGUGAUUACAAGACAUAAAAUUUCUAGCUGUGACACUCGCCCAUGUCCUGCUACUGAUGAGUCAUGGGACCCCGUCCACGCUCCUAAUGGUAGUGAGGUACGGGCCUAGCCCACUCUCACUCGUGUUCUAGUUUGGGCCUCGCCCCUAUUCUGCUACUAAUGAGAUAUGGAACCCCAUCCACACUCUGAUAUUGGUGAGAUACGGGACCUCGCCCGCACUCACCUCCCUACCAGGCACAUACAUGUAUCACACAGACAACAAGUAUAAACUAUCAUAUAAACAAUUCUUUGGGCACCCGCCCGCUAUUACUGGACCUCGUCCUGAAAAUCAUACUAGCAUACUGUGCCUAGGGCUAACCCCCGGGUCUUCUACUCAUAACUACAUGGGCCGACAUUGUGGCCUUAGACCCAUUCACACAAAGGGAAAUUCACCUGCACUGGCUGAACUUGCUGAUGAUCUCACUAGCUGCUGCCCGACAACUCACAGAACUCCUGCUCCCCUUGCUCCCCGAACUACCAAUAUCAAUGCAACACUGAGUCUAACUGACCCCCGAAAGACAACCAAGUCAACCCAGGUCCAAGGUCAAGGUCCUGGUCAAAGUCAACCUUCCAAGUCAACCCUACUCGCCGAGUCACCCUACUGACUCGCCGAGUUCUAAAUGAUCCGAUUCCCUCUAUUCGCGACUCGACUCCGAGUCAGUCCAUGACUCGCCGAGUCUACCGAUUUCUGAGUCCUGACCUGUCCAACUCACUGAGUCUCCACCCGACUCACUGAUUCGAGUCUCAACUCAAAGGGUUUGGGGUUUCGCGACCUGACUCGCCGAGUCCAAGAACAGACUCGCCGAGUACAAGGCAAUCUUCAUACGACUCGACGAGUUGUUCAUCCCACUCGUCGAGUUUCUCCACAACUUCAUGCUACUCGCUGAGUCCACUCAAAGGACUCGUCGAGUCCCUUCAGUUCUCCUUACAUGCAGAGGACUUUUGAGUCAUGCAUGGACUCCAAGCUGUAGAUCUACCCUCCCCAAGCCUAUUCCACACGUAAAGUUGCAAACUUUAUGUGUAGAGAAGGAGAUCUAGGCAAAAUAUGCCAUAAACUAGGGUUUAAGGCCAAUGGGCUUCAAAAUCAAUUCAAGGGCUGAUACUUUACAGGGUUUUAGAUCAAAAUAAGCAUGGAUCUGAGGUAACAACCUCAUAUCUGAACCCCUAGCUCGAAAGGUCACUCAAAUGCCAUAAAUGCCCAAAUACACACAUAGAUCUAGGUGCAAGGAAGGGAAAAUAGCAGCUUGUUACCUCCAAGAUGAACACCACUGAAGUAGAUCUCGGAUCUACACCUCCUCCUUUGAAGCAACCCACUUGAUCUUCAAGUUCCUUUCCCCAAAGUUCCUUCCUCCAAGCUUUAUCUCUCAAAUAAUGGAAGCUCUUACGAAAUCAAGGGUGCACUGGUUCUCUAGGGUGAUAUGGGGGCUGAGGGAGGGACAUAACACCCUUUAAAUAGGGUACAACUCCCGGGAUUAGGGUUUUCCCCGUUCAGACCAGACUCGCCGAGUCACCUUGGCCGACUCGUCGAGUCGGUCGCUUACUCCUCGACCCGGAUCCCGCUCGGACUCGCCGACUCCCUCCUUGGACUCGCCGAGUCUACCCUUAAAAUUAGGGCUUUUCUUUCCUUUCUUGGCCUUCAAAACUUUGGGUGUUACACUUUUUAAUAAAUUAAUUUGUUCCCGAAGAAAUUUAAUCGUAGUUUCACAUGCUGGAGUACAUGAAACUUCAUUUAUCGGAAUGGAUUCGAAACUCUUUUUUUUUAAUUCUUUGACUAAAAACUCAAAAGUCAACCUUAAAAGUCAAAUUUAAAUAGUCAAACCGAAAAGCUAAAUUUGAAAAUUUGAAGGUUAAACGAGAAAGUCAAAGCUUAAAGUCAAAGGUCAAACUCGAAAGUCAAAAACAAAAUUUUAAGUAAAAAAAUCAAAAUUAAAAGUUAAAAUUUUGGAAGAAAAUAGAAUUUAAAAUUAAAAGAAAUUUGAAUUGUAGGUUAAAAGUGCAAAAAUUACGAAACUGAGUGCGAAUGAGAGUGUUUUUGAAUUAAAUCUGGAGGGAAUGGAACAAGUGUCUUGGUAGUUCAACUGGUAAGGCGCAAGGGAAAGGAGGCGGGUGAUUCGUGUUCGAUUAUUGGCAACCCCAAAAUCACUUCCGAUUUUUGCUGAUGUUGCGUGCGAGGAUGACUGCUGCGAAGCUUGCUGAACAUGCGAGGGCGAGGUGCAAGACCGAGGUGCGAACCGGAAAUGCUGCAGGACCGCAAACUCUGACCGUACACGUGCGAGCCGUAAACUCCUAGGGCCGUAUUGUCGGACCGUAAACUCCGGCUGUAAACUCCGAGGCCGUAAACUCUUCGCAGAUUACGGUGAAAAACAAACGUUUUUCACCCCUUUUUGCUCCAAAACAUGAUCAAAAACUCGUUUUUAUAAAAAACACAAGGAACAAACCCCCUUAAUUUGCCAAAAUCUAUCCACGAACGCAAAAAUCAUUCCAAAAUAAGAUCAAAUAAGCUCUAGAUUUGACAAAAUUGAUUAAUACAAUCCAAGCUCUGAUACCAAUUGUAAAUCCCCAACCUGCUUGUGUAUCAAUCAGAUCCAUUUGAUGGUGUGGAAUCCUAAUCAAACGAAUGGUGCCAGAUCAAACUAGAAGAGAAGGAGAAGAAGAAUAACUUGAAUCUACGAUGUAUUAAAGAUGAGAAUGAAGUUCCUUACAAUAGAUUCACACACUCUCUUAUUCUCUCUUGUUUCUCUCUUUAGAACACACCUUAGAAUACACACCCUUAAGAUCCUUUUUUUCUUACCCCCACAUGCACUCCUCACCCUAUAUAUAUGAGACAUGGGUCGUGAACAGGUUAAACCUGUUCACGACCGUAAACACAAUCGUAAACUCAUAAAACAUUACAAAAAAAUACAAUUGCCUAGAAAAGUAAAGUAUAAACCAUAAUUUUGACCCAACACAAGAACAACAAAUCAUCAUCUACAAGUUCAUAAUAAGAUUAAAUAACUCAAAUAUAAAAAACAUAUUUUCUUGUAAUAUUCUCCGCAUGCUUUCAUUAUUGAGAAGUUGUGCCACCGAAUAAUCCCCACCAACUAACUAUGAUUUUGAAACAAAGACAUAUUAUUAAUUAAUAAACAUCAAAAGUUUGGUCUAAAAUAAAAACGUAUUUUCUUCUAAUCCCAAUGUAUCUGUUGAGGUCUAAAAUAAUAAGUCUAAAAUAAUAAGUACCAACUAAAAACUGUGUGUAUUUUUCGGGAAAAAAAAUCAAGUUUAAAAAGAAAAAAAAAUUAAAGUAUAAGUUUUUUUUUGUUUGUUUUUUUUAAUAACCGAUAACAGAAACCAAAAAGUUAUUGUCAUUGUAACCCAACCAUCUUUCGUAUAUUAGUUUAAAUGGUCCCUCGUGACUAUUUUUUGCUUUUAAAGGGCUUAUACUUGUAAAUGACCGGUCAAUAUGAUACUUUAACCCACAAUUGAAGGUAAAACAAAUGCUUGACUUGCCAACUAAGCGGGUGACUCAGCAUCGACUUGGACUAGUGUACUUUUCUUCCACAUAAGCCUCCAGCUAACCUUGUUUAAUGCUUUCAUUAUUGCUACCAACCCACCAACCACCCUUAAAGGAAAAGGAAGCGUCGGGGGGAGGGGGACAUAAAGCAGCAUCACAAAUCAUUGGGGCUUAAUCGACACAAACUCGACAAGAAAUAAACGAGUUUGGAUAGGAUAUUUCAACCCAUUUAAAUAAAUGAGUUGACACGACACGACUUGAGAACUUCAACUCGAAUAUGACUCGAAGAUGACCUAUUUAUUUAUAUGCAAGUUUUGGGUCCUUUAAAUAAACUAGAACGAUAAAAUACCAAAACCAUAAGUAAAAGGAAAUGAUAUGCCAUAUUUAUACAUGUUUUUAGACAAUAUUUAUUUACAAUUUUAUUAUUAAUUUGGUUAUUUUCAUGGAAUAAUGGUACUUAUAAGCUUAAAUUAUAUUUUGUAGCCAACUAAAAGCAUUUUCGAAGAAAGGGACUAAAAUUGAAAAAACAUGAAACUUUGAAGACUUGGAGAAUAAAGAAAGAAGAAACCCACGAAAUCAGCUAUAUUCACGACGUGAACCCCAACCUCACGAUGUGGCAUGAAGACUCUGGAAGAUAAGUACACACAAAGUAAUAAUCCGUGCCCGAUAAGGAUUUCUCCUAAUUUACGUCGUGAAGUAUCCAUUCACGACGUGAAGCACAAAUUUCGAGAUAACUAUACUUGAGGGACUUUUGGCUGAUUGAAGAAGUUCCAUGAGAUGAUUUUCAGAAUAGGAGAAGGCCUGGAAUAGGGUUUCAACACCAAAGGAGAAGAUAGUUCAUAAUUAGUUUAAUCGUUUGGUACUUUAAUCAUGUCUAUAACUUUGAUUUGUUUUAGUUUGAUUUUGAGUAUGAGUAGUUGAAUUUAGUUACUCCUGUUUAGCUAGAUGAAACCUCAACUUAUGGUUUAGUUAAUUUAUUAUGGAUUUGAUUAGUUGGUAUUGUGCUUGUGUUUGAUUGUUAAUACCUAGCAUACUAAUAUUUGAUUCUUUAGUUGCUUGAAUUCGUGUUCUGUGUAGCUUAGUGAUUAUUAAAUUACAUGAACUUGACACCUAGUGGUUUAGUGAACAUUAAAUUGCUAGAGCUAGGAUCGACCAAAUCUUAGGUAAGUAAUUGAAGUAAUUAAAUUUAGCUGUGUUGGAGAGCAUAAAUUUUGACCAUAAUUACGUUUGCAUAAUGAAUCUUACAUAGCCUAUUCAUAAUCAUAACUAAUUAUGUAUUUGAUUGUGUGUGACCAUGCAUAGUUUUACAUGAAUGAGUUAAAUAUUGGUAAAUUUAUACUUAAAUUACUAAUAUAAUAUAAAAUUAGAUAACCAACUUUAAUAAUCCAUAAUUGUUAGCUAACCAGAAAAAGGAAGUUGAUUCAAACUAAACGGGAGUAUUUUUAGUAAUUGAUCGAAUUUAGUGCUAAGAGAAUUAAGUUCAUCUAAACUUGAAAAAUUAGAUAAAACCUCAUCUUUGUUAGAAAAUUAGGUUAAUUUAAUAGUAGAUAGAUUAAUCAGUCAAAACCGUUCCCUGUGAUCGAUACCCGACUUACCCAACUAUUCUAUAAUUUGACUAGGUACACUGCCUAGGUGCAAUUUAGUUAGUUAAGUUAGUUAGGUUACAAAUAUAAAAUUAGGUGUAGCUAUUUUCAUGCAUCAGGAAACAUUUUGAUCGAUUCGUUUUGUAAUUUUGAAAAGAUUUAGCGUCCAGAUCAGUGCUUCAUUUUUUAGUUUUUUCGUUCUCUCCCAAACUACACAGUCCCUGUAACCACUCUCUUAUCCUCAUGAUCUUGUCUUCUGCCUCCCCAACUCCUACUCUUCCCAUUUUGUCAUCUAAACUUGUUAUAACUUUAUUUAUUUUGCCUUAACUACUACUUUUUUUUUUCUUUCCAUCUGCAUAACUCAUAUUCUUUCAACAUGUUCAAUGUUUCAACCUCACAUGACACAACAUAUUUCAAGGUAUAAGCCUAACACAAAACCUGAGACAAACUCGACACAAAAAUAAAUGGGUUGACACGACACAACAUGUUAAUUAUACUGGUCAGGUUAGGGUCAAGCACUUUCAAUCUGUUUAGAGUUUCGACACGACACAAACCCACACAACAUGACAUGAUUGCCACCUAUACUUACGUGACACAACCCAUGUCACAAGUGCAUGUCACCCAUUUUAUGUAUAAUUUUGCUAUAAUCUUUGUAACUUCUUCCAUAGACCUCCAUUGGACACCAAACUUUACCAUCUAAGCAUAAAGUUUAUUAACUUCUCUAAUCAAUCAAGUACUUUCUUCAUUAUGACUUAAUCAUUAAGACCUUUAGAUGUCAUAAGAGCUAUAAGAAAGCAUAAAUGACAUCUAAGCAUUCUAGUUAUCUAUUGAUCUAUUAAUGACUAAGGUUCUCAUCAAACAUCAUUCUAAACCACUUAGAAGUAUUAAUUAUCAUCAUAGAGAUCUUCAUUGACAUUAAAGUAAUCAAAUCCAUGUAUUCCAAGGGUUAGAAUUGAUGAUUCCAUAGUUAAAAAUCAUUGAAACGCUUGAUAACUUUACUUCAAAUUCCUUUAAAUAGUUUUGAUAAAUCAAGCAUAAAUACUCCAAACACAUAAUUCAUGAACUAUGGCUUCAAUUAUUGAAAAUCCUCAUACUAAUCCUCAUUGAAGUCUUAUUCAAAACUCUCAUGGAUCUUCAUUGGAAUCAUGAUUCUAAAUCCAUGUUCAAAUGAUUGAUUUAAUUACAUAAAAUUGUUAUGGAUUUAUAUUGAGAGUUGACUCUAGACAAAAGAUUCACAAACCCCAUCAUCCAAACACUUGGUGAUUAAAUUGUGACAUCGCCAUUUUCACGGCUAGAAAAGACCGAUUUUGUAUAUGCUUUAUAAAAAUCAGAGUACUUCUUUUAAUAAAAAUUUUGCGGAAUUUGUUCACAUAAAAACAUGAUAAAUAUGUUAUCAAAGCAUUUCUGAAGAAAUUUAUUUUUUAUUCAUUUUCAAAACCUUGGGAUGUCAUCGACAAUACAUAAACAUAAGCAUAAACAGAACUUACGUUCAUAUCGACACCUGUGAUACAAAUAAGCUUGAUUGGGUCAGGUUGGGAAACCUGGUGAGUACAUAGGGUUUCAACCAAUAAUAAUACAAUUAUUAUAUUUAAACAUCAAACAAUCAACCCAAUUACUCAUCCCCAUUAUCUUCUUUACUCUUAAGGAUCUACCCUAAGAAUCAACUAUUCCUCGUUCAUUCAUUCCUAAGGAUUAUCCUAAGGAAUAGGCACGAAGUCCAUCGUUGCCAAUGACACAACUAUCAAGCAUAACUGCUAAUAUUAUCAUUUAGGUGCAGCUGCUAGAAUUGUGACAUUCUCUAUGAGGCGCAGCUAUCAGUAUUGUCCUUUAGGCGCAACUGCCAUGGUUAUGAUGUUCUCCAUUAGGCGCAACUGAUGAUACUAUCCUUAGAGCGCAACUGCUAGGAUUUUUAGAGUACAUCGUACAUCAAAAACGUCUACAGGUUGUGGCGCAGCUGCCAAUGCUCAUCUAUAGGUACUAAGUCCAUUACUACCAAUGUUCACCUAUAGGGUACUAUGUCCAUACUGCUAAUGUUCCUAUAUAUCAACUUUCAUCAUUCAUCUACCCAUGUGUUUACCCAACAUAUUUUGUAGAUAUAAAUACAUAUACAAUGUAAAUCAUUUAAAACAUGUAUAAAAUCGUUCAUCCAACAUAGAUAGCAAGUAUACAGAUAAUAUGCACAUAUAACACGUAAUUUAUAUAAAAUACUUCAUAUGUAUGUGUAAGAUGAAAGUAACUAUGCAGUCACCUGAUAAGGUGGUGACUCAGUACUCGGACAACACUCCGUUUACUUAAAACAACUUCCUUUGACAAAACCUAGUAUCAUUACCACUAGAGUUUAGUCUAAUGUUCGACGAGACUAAUUAAUAGUCUUGGUAUUAUUACUAUUAUAUAAGCGUUAAAACAAUACUCUUCUCCCACUAUGUACAGGCAGGGGUCAGACAUGAAACACCGAAGGGUAGGACCAUUUUGGCAUAUAACACUUCUGAAAUCCAACAACCCAAGCGGCCUUUCAAACCAGAUUCCCCGUACCGUGAGUGGUUAAAAAGAUAUUAUAACGACACUUAUAUAACUAAUAAUAAUAGCCAAAAUAUUUAUUAUAAGGUCCUAAUAACAUUACUAUAUUUAAACAAAAGCUUUACUUAAGGUAGGGUAAACGUAUCUCACUUACAAGGGGGUUUGGCUAGGAGCCGGGCUCUGCAGUGGCAGAACUUUCGAGCCGAAAGCUCUUCUUCUCGGAGCCUUCCGGCACUCCGGGACUCGCCUUUAGCACUUAGACGUUGCUAGGGAAGGGAAGAGAGGUUUGGGGUAAUGGGAGAAAAAGAAUGGUUUUGGUGUGAGUUUUGGGGGUGAUUUACGCCUCUAUUUAUAGGCUGUCUGGGUCGAUUCAUGUCGUGAGAAAGGGUGCUCACUUCGUGAGCCUUACGUAGGCUCCAAGGCGAAGUCCGGUGCUGACACGUGGUGCCGGACGUAGGUAAAACAACCAAUCUUUAAAAUUCAUAACUUUCGCAUACAAACUCCAUUUUUGACAUUCUUUAUAUCCACGCGUAGAUAAAGACAAAAUCUACACAUUUCCUUUUGACUACGUCGACUAAUUCUUGACCAAUUUUAAAGUUGACAGUAUGAGAAGAUUAUACUGUUAAAUGACUGUGUAAAAUUCAUAACUUCUAUAUACAGACUCCGUUUUUGUCUGUAUUUUUAUCGUUGAGUUCCUAUUAAUGAGAUCUUAAAUUCUCAUUCAGGUUGCGUUGGCUAAAAAUCGAUCGAUCUAAAAUUCGAAUUUCGGGCUGUGCACUGCUAUGCCAAAUCUUAGAAAAAUUAUAACUUCCUCAUAUGAAGUCAAAUUUGGGCGUUCUUUUUAUGCACGCUCUUGUUUUAACGUAUACUACAACUUUCAUUUAGAUCAAUAAGGCUAAAAAGUCCUCUAUCGUAAAUUCAAUAUUUACUUCACACAGCAUCGUGUUGGUUUUGUCGCGAAACUUCGACGAACCAUAACUUCUUCGUUAUAACUCGGAUUUUGGUGUUCUUUAUAUAUAUGGAACCCUUGUAACAUGUACUAUAGCUUGGUUAAGAUUACUCCUUCUAACUAAUCUACCAUCAAAAACUCAUUUUUGAUGCUCAUUGUCUCUAAAUUGACUAGCCCGAAUCUGCGGGCGUUACAUAAAUCUAAUUCUACAACUAUUGGCUAGAUUACAACUCAUCAUUGCCAAGGUAUAAACCAUACAUGAACCUAGAAUUUGAAUCACCUAUUUCCACCAUUUUUUGAUGAACUGCAAUCAUUUAAGGAUGAAUUAGCAAUCGUAUGGUGUUUCUAGAGUGUAAUUCAAACAUCCAAAACCCAGUUAAACUAAUAUCUAGAGAAUUUCCACCAUUAAUGGAGCUUGAAGCUCAAAAUAUCAACCAAAGCUUCAUCAAAAACAAAUUGGAUGUGAUUAGAUUGGGAGUUCUAAUAUCAAAACCAUCAAUGAAUUCAACAUCUAUCAAUAAUCUAAUUACCAUUUUCAGAUGUUGGCUUCAACCCAAACCCUAGGUUUGAUUUCUAGAGAAAUUGGAGAAGGUUAUACCUCAAUUCACUAAUGAACAUGUUUUACUUUGAAUGUGAACUCCUUCUCUUCAAUUACAAGCCCUAGAUCUCUAUCAAAUAAAGGAGAAGACCGAAUAACUAGCUUUUAGUUUUCAAUAUUUAGCAUAUUUUGUCAUACACUUUCAUAUAUCUCAUAUAUGACACCAUUUGACUAAAUAUUUUAAAUGAACUUCGAUCAGUUAUUUACUUAUACCACUAAAACACAUUUGUUUUUUCAUAAAGACCAUGACUAGUCAACACUUGGUAAAAUAGUUUCCAAGUUAGAAAAACUAGUCCCUCUACUUUAAACUAUAACUCGACUAGUAUAAAGGUCAUCUUGUGGCUCAUGGAUUUUCUCAGCCUUCACUUUGAUGACACCUUUAGUAUUGUUGUCGAACAUAUGGUAAUUGCCACCAUCCUAAGCGUUAUGAUAUCUAAAAAUUAGCCCAUCAACCAGUUAGGUGUCAAAAAUGCUUUGUUGCAUGGUGAUUUGUUUGAGGAAGUUUCCAUGAAACAACCUCUUGGAUAUGUUCAUCAUACUCUUUUGAAUCGUAUAUGUCUCCACGAAAGGCUAUAUAUGGCUUUAAGAAGGCACCCCGUUCUUGCUACCAAAGUUUUGUUAUCUUCAUCAUCUCUUUUGGUUUUAGAAACAAUCGUUCUGACUGUUCUCUUUCCGCUUAUCACUCCGGCUCUAGGCAUAUCUGACUGUUCUAUUUCCGCUUAUCACUUCCGCUCUAGGCAUAUCUAUCUUCUCCUUUAUGUUGAUGAUAUCAUCGUCACUACCUCCUCAUCCCCCUCUUUCAUCUCCCGUGUCAUUACUCGCUUAUCUUCAGAGUUUCCCCUAACAUGUUUAGGCUCUAUUUCAUUCUUUCUUGGAAUUGUUGCCUCACAGACUGAUAAUNNNNNNNNNUAUAUAUAUAUAUAUAUAUAUAUAUAUAUAUAUUUAUCUCAAACGUUCUUUGCCAAGGAAAUUAUUUCUCGCGCUCACAUGUUCUUAUGCAAUCCGUGUCUUACUCCUUCAGACAGUUCCCAAAGGUCCUUAUGUUGCUUAUCUCACACCUUACCAAAGCCAUGAAGGUGUUUUGUAGUAUCUAAGUUUCACUCAUCCUGAUAUUCCUUAUAAUGUUUAACAAAUCCGCUUAUAUAUAUGCAUGAUCCACAUGAACCUCGUCUUCUUAGAUCUCAAGCGGAUCCUUCGGUACAUAUGAUGUUGAUUGGGCUGAUCGUCCUCACAAUUGUAUGUUCACCUCUAGGUUAUGUGUUUAUCUUGGCAAUAAUCUCAUAUCGUGGUCUUCCAAAUGUCAGCAUGUUGUCUCUUGAUCCUCUGCUAAGCUGAGUACCGCUGGUGGCCAAUGUGGUUACCCAAUCUGCUUGGCUUCACAAUCUCCUUCUUGAGUUAUCUUGUCCAUUAGAAAGCAAUGGUUGUGUUUUACAACAAUAUGAGUGCCAUGUAUUUAGUUUCUAACCUUAUACACCAUCAACGUACCAAGCAUGUUAAAAUAGAUUUACAUUUUGUUUGGGAAUGUGUUGCCAUUGGACAUAUGCAUGUCUUGCAUGUGCUAUCAACUCACCGGUUUGUGGAUAUAUUCACAAAGGAUCUUCAUACCUGAUUGCUUUUAAAUUUUCAGCUUUAAACAUUUGUAAACUCCAUGUGCAAAAUAAAGGUAUGUGUUAAAUCAUGUCAUUUAUGACCUUUUGUGUAGUAUAGGGACCCCUUUUGUAACUUUUUAUACUACAUAUAUCAUGCCAUACAAGUGUACAACUCCCUCACUAAGGAGGCUUUUUCCACAUUUAAUAUUUGUUACUGGCUACUAAUAACAAGUCAUAGUAUGGUGUCAUAUGAUUAAAACAACCAUAAUCAACCAUCAAUCUGUUACCCGAUGAUGAUGAGAAGUCAUGAGCACUCAUUGAACGUGUCGUGAGUUGUUGGAUUGAUUCUUGAUUUCUUUGUAAAAAUUUCAUUGGGUUAGAAGUGUUUGUCACAUCAAAAAUGGGUGGCAUGCACUUGCCAUUAAAAGUCUAGAGGAGUUGUAUUAACUCUUGAUUUAUUCGAAGUAAUUCCAUAAGAUUGGAGGUGUUUGGCGCAUUAACAAACAGACGUGGGACGUGUUUGAAAUGAUAUGCUCAUGAUGUAAUUUUAAUGAAAAAUUGUACUAGAUGAAACGUUGAUACGGUGGAGCGAUAUGUAGAAUUGAUUGAUCUCUGAUUGUAUUAAAUUGAAGAAGAAAGCAUAUACAUCCCAUGACAAGAUACAAUAAUAUAAACCUAAUUAAUUAUGAAUAAAUAUAGAAGCUACCAAUACUUAUGGAUAGAUGCCAAAGUAACCCUGAAGUAUAUGGAAUUGCUGAAACGUACACUAACAGAAUGGAGGACAGAAGAAAGAGGUACUACAUGAAAGUAAGGCUCUGUAUCAUAUAUCCUGCCAAUUUAUUAAUCUCAGACUGAAAAUUAAAAACAAAAUUAUAAUAUUCACAGUAUACCUUUCCCUUUUUACUUCUUGCCAAACUAAUCCUUAAAUAUUAAGUUGUAUAUUGUGAAAAUGAUAAUGUAUUUGAUGUGAAGUUUCAGUCUCUAUAACAGGGUAAUUUCAUUUAAGGCAAGAGGAAACUGAUUGUUUCAUGUGUAGUCAGACUAUUCAUAGAUGAAAUGAUGAAGAAAAUUCAAGGCAAGGAGAAAUCGACGGGCCCAACUUCUAUUUCAUAGGAAAAAUACAAUAUGAAAGAAAUAAAACCUUGAAACUAAUUGAUGAAAUCAUAAGAAAGUUUCUGCUUAUUUCUAGUUGAUGGUAAUACACACCUCCUCCAGUGCCCCAUCCUUACCACACCAGCCUCAGGGGUCUGAAAAUUUGUUAUUUCAAAAGUCAUGAAAGGGUUGCAUUUCAGGGAAUAUUUCCCUGAAACAUCAUAGAAGAUAACCUCAUGAACAGUAAAAAAAACAUGACUCCUUAUGUGUGGCAAUAUGUAACGUCUAAAUAUGUCUGACCUAGAGCCUCUUGCUAGAAAAUUUAAGUACAAAUUACAUAACUUUUUGCAAACCUUUACCAAGAAAUUAUAGUGGUGUUUUCUUUGUUACCAGAAAAAUAUACAACUUACAUACUAAUGGAAAUCUCAUUUUUUUGUAUAUAUAUAGUGAUCAGUUCCCUUCAAGACAAAAUCAAGAAUCUACUUUAGGAUUUUUGGUUACUGAUACCUUUCUUAUUUGAAUUUCUUUUAAGGAUCCAGUUGGGUUAUGACUGCCACCGGUAAGUUUUGUCUUUUGGUUCGUUAGUUAACAUUUUACUUUUGCUUUAUGCUUGUUUCUUCUUCCAUGUCUUACAAAGUGGGUAUGCUUAUAAAAUGCUUGUUGGACAUCAACUUUUGCACUAAAUAUACCAUGGUCUCCUACUCCUCCAUCAACAUCAAACUUGUAGCUUGCUUUCUUAUCUUUUUAUCUUAUUUUCGUUUUACAGGUUUGAACAUGCUUGAACAUCAGAUGAAAUUUCAGGUGAUACCAAAUGAUGUUAAAAGGACAUGGAAUGAGCACGUCCUACAAGUAUUGGUUCCCACCAGCCUUAUUUUGCAGAUCAUCUUAAGUAUUUUAGGAAACCUUCGGAAAUACAAUCCAAAGACUAUAAUCAGAAUCACUCUUUGGUGUGUUUACUUUUUGGCUUACGCCAUUGUCCCAGUGGCCCUUAGUAUUACUGCCCAAAGUGCCUUGGAAUCAUGCAACAAAUCUCAUCCUGCUUCAAAACAUCAUAGAUCCAACACACGUGAGCUCAUGGGUUUUUGGGCACAGUUUCUCUUUCUUCACCUUGGUGGUGCAGACACCAUUACUGCUUACUCCUUGGAAGACAACGAUCUUUGGUUAAGACAUUUGGUUUUUCUUCUCUUCCAAUCAGGAGUAGCUUUAUAUAUCCUUUUGUUGUCUUGGCCAGGUUGUUCUCAUCUCCCCCUGCUAAGCAUACUCGUUUAUGCAUCCGGUUGCAUCAAGUGUUUUGAACGUGUUCAGGCUCUAAGGUUUGCAAACACUGAGCAUCUCAGAGAGACAAUGCUUGGUCCUGCUGACCCGGGUCCUGAUUAUGUCAAAUUCCUGGAGGAAUUUCUGUUGAAAAAGUCACAGGGUUUCAUUGUGAAGGUUGAGGAGGUUUUGGAGAAUGCUCUUCCAACUAUUCGUGCAUAUUCCCAAACUGGGCGUGAAGAAAUAUUCGAAGCAUACAAUCUAUUCCAAACAUUCAAGCGUCUUUUUGUUGGUCUUAUACUCACAUAUGAAGAUAGUGAUAGAAGCACAUCGUAUUUCCGUCAUCUUGAUAAAUCUGAUAAAGUUUUCCAUGCUGUGGAGAUUGAACUUGGAUUUGUAUAUGACAUGCUUUACACAAAGGCAAGUGUGCUUUAUACAAAUAAGGGCCUCAUACUUCGUGCUAUUGGUGUUCUUCUCCUUCUCUUAGUACUUGUUGGCUUCCAUUUUCACAGUGAUACGGACCAUUACCUAGUCAUUGACAUUGUCAUUACUUAUUUAGUAAUUGCAGCAGAAUUUUUAAAAGAAAUCUUUUCCUAUAUUACCAUGUUCCAUUCAGAUUGGGCUGAUAUCUGGUUUAAACAGCAGAACCACACUCACGACAACCUUAUAUUUUCAUUCUUGAAGCAACCGAGUAAACAAAGGUGGUCCAACUCCAUUGGACAGUCAAAUCUUCUAAGUGUCGCACUCAAGGAGAACCCUACUUGUUUUCUAAAUCAGAAAUUGUUCGGGGUGCAUAAGUUUCUGAAGAAGCAAAGAUACGAGACAUAUAUCGAGGUUUCUCCCAAUCUGAAGGAUAUGAUUUACAGUCAGUUUCUUGAGUUUGUGGAGCGUAGUUCUGAUCCAAAAGGAUUAUGCAUUCACAAAGGAAGCUAUUGUCUCCAAGAGAAUGGGAUGAGAACUCUUUUGUGGAGCAUCAAUGAAGUGGAAUUCGAUCAGAGCAUUCUUAUCUGGCACAUCGCUACUGCUCUUUGUUACUACUCUGAGAGUAGUGAUCAAUUAGAAAUCAACCGCAUCGAAAGUAAGAACAUGUCUGAGUAUCUGGUGAAUCUUUUAAUUUCAAACCCUGAAAUUCUGCCAAUAGGUAUCGGCAUGAUCAGGUAUCGUGACACAUGUGCUGAAGCCAUUCGUUUCUUCAAAAUGAAAAGCCCUAUUACCGAAAUAUCUGAUGCCUGCAGAAAGUUACUUGAAGUUAGUUGUGAGGAAUUGUUGCCUAGUAUAGUGAAAGGGGAUCAAUCCAAAUCUGUACUCUUUGAUGGUUGUAGACUUGCAUUAGCUUUGAGAAAGAUGAAAAACAGGGAGAUAAUGUGGAAAGUGAUGAGUCAAGUAUGGAUCGAGAUUCUGGCUUAUGCAGCUGCUCACUGCAGAGUGUUCCACCAUUCACAGCAGCUUGGGAGAGGGGGAGAAUUUCUGACUCAUGUUUGGCUUUUGAUGGCACACUUAGGAAUGACAGAGCAUUUCCAGGUAACUCAUGGCCAUGCAAGAGCUAGGUUCAAUGUUUCAUAGGCAUAGCUUGGGAUUAGCAUUUCAUUUGCUUUAAUACUUAUGUAGAUUAACCAUUCUAUUUGUUUGUUUUCUAUUUUCGUAAUUGAAAAAGUUGUGCCUUUCUGCCUAAGUUGGCACACAUUCACUGUCUGUACAUUAAUUAUCCAAUUUUCAUAUUUUUUUGUUCAAAAUUUUAUUGUAUAAUAAUAAUGUUCUUUCAGAAAUUUUUACUCUUGGGUUUCUAAAUAUGUCUUGCGUAAGUGAAAAAGUCAUGAAUGUGUAAUGUUAUAGUGGGUGAUACUGGUUCAAUCUUUUCAAAGUUAUAUCUAGGAAUAUAGUUCAUGUACAACACCUUUCCAAUUUCAUUUUUGCAAAGAGACUGUUUUAUGACUCAAGGAGAGAGCAAUUUCACACAUAAUUAGCUGUAACAAUGUAAGUAAGUGAGGUGAAAAUCUAACACCCAAUAUUAGAGCCCACACUAGGUGGACCUUCACCGGGUGUGUGUAGUGUGUGCUCUACUGCUCUAGAGACCAUGUUUCAGAUACUGACCAACCUCAAUACUGCUCUACUAUGUUAGUUACUACUUAGGGAAAAUGAAUUAAAAGCCCAAUGAAGUUUCCAAACCAUUCAAACAACCUCAAUCAUGUUUUGUAUUAAAAAAAACCCAACGAACUUAACUUUUUGUCUAAAAAAUCCAACAAAGUUCCAAACAGUUCAAAAAAUCCCAAUUUUGUUUUGUUUAAAUUCGUUGGAUUUUUUUUGAACAGUCAAAACAUGAUUGGAGUUCUUUAAACGUUUUGGAAACUUCGUUGGUCUAACAAGUCAUUUUCCCCAUACAGUAAUAAGCUAUGCCAUAUGUUUCUCUUAUUUGACUUUCAGGAAAGUGUAACUUAGUUAAGCUUUUUAGACAAAAGGUUAAGUUUGUUGGGUUUUUUUGAACAGACAAAACAUGAUUGAGUUUCUUUUGAACGGUUUAGAAACUUCAUUGGGCUCGUAAGUCAUUUUCCCUACUACUUAUGAUCAACAUGAUUGUCUUAUCGUUCCAUUUUUUACGACUUGUAAGUUGUAACACACUUGAUAUAUUGUUGAAAACAUGCAUCAAAUUUUGUGUGAUCAACCAUUGAAAUAUUUGGUGGGACAGGUGUAAGGUAAAAAGGGUUGUUGAAUUAGAAGUUGGAUGCAGAGUAUAUGUUUAUGGAUUUUCAAGCUUCUUAAUUAAAAAUUUUAAAAGCUUGUAAAAGUGCACUUAACUUACUGUUUGAAGUCUAAAUUGCAUAACAUGUUCGAUUAGCUCCAGACCUCCAGUAUAUAUUGUAUCGGUUCAUUGAGUUGCCAUCUGGACAGAAUAAAACCUGAGUCAUGUUUCAAGAGUCACAGAAAUUAACCAGUACUUGUAAAAUUAAGAAUAAUGUCUUUUGGGCUUUUCUACUCAAUUCUUUAAAAGCCACAGGCUCUUGAUGCACUAGGGUCACAAUUUUACUACAAGUAAACAAUGAAGAGAACAAAAGAAAGGGAACUUGUGGUGGAUGCAAGUAAAAAACAACUCUAAACCUAUUCUGAAAAUAAGUAACUGAAACGAAACACAGAGUGACUUGAAAUCAAACCUGAAGAUUGAAUUUUGUUUGGAUCAAAAGUAGUUGGCUAUCAUGCUUAUACUCAACAUUAAGACCAGACUAACAGGUGUAUCGUGAUAUAGAGCAGUGGGUGAUUGAUGCCUUAAAAGGCUUAAACUAAACCAGAUGGGUUCGAGAAAACUAUAUCGAUUAUUUUUUUGCUCUCGGUCUGCCUAAACAAGCAGAUAACCGAAAUUCCGCACAUGGGGGGAUACCGGGAUGCUACUAUUCAUGAACGCCGGAAAGCUGAAGUCUACCAUUUAGACAAGAAAACGGUAAAAAAAAACUAGAAAACGGGUGAACAGAAACACUGAAGCAUGAGCUUACAAACCGAAGGUAGCACGGUGUAGAUAAAGAGUUGAUAACUCACAGUUAUGCAGAGGCAAUCUCUGGAUGAACCAUGGGAAGCUGAAACCAUGAAUUAUGAACGUUCGUUUAUACUUCAAGAUGAUAAUAUCUACAACUGUAUUAUAUAGAAAACAACGAAAAAUCAAGCGUUUUUGUCUUUAUGCAUAUAAUACCAAGUCGUGGUUGACCCAAGUCAAGUUUAUCAUUGCUAAUAGUCUAGUCUUUUGAAGCUUUCCGUUAGCUUUCAUCCACCAGGAAAGC
RNAcentral lists this long non-coding RNA (58477 nucleotides) under Lactuca sativa (garden lettuce). RNAcentral describes it as "long non-coding RNA (LSAT_LNC001011)". Lineage: Eukaryota; Viridiplantae; Streptophyta; Magnoliopsida; Asterales; Asteraceae. The record is from RNAcentral.